GGGAUGGGGGGUUACAUUCAUGAUUGGUUAGGGAAGCGGUGGAGGUUUGGUUUCAUUUGGGCGGGUAUCUACAACCCUCUCCCCCCUCCCCCCCCACACACACACCUCGGGUAUGUCCUCGCACAGCUUGCCGAUGCACAGGCACAGCCACCUCAGCAGCAGCGGGUGCCCCGGGGGGCCGUAGGUGAGGCUCACAGGCGCCAGACUGCGCAGCCAGCGCAGCAGCACCGCAAGCAGCUGGCUGCCAGCACACAGGGCCUGGCCCUGUGUGUUUUGGGGGGGAGGGAGGGGGUUGUUUGGGGGUUGUGGGGGUUUGUGGGGUUUGUGGGGUUUGGGUUGGGGGCGGGUGGGUGGGUGGGGCAGGUGUGGGGUUGGGGUUGUGGGGUUGUGGGGUGGGUAAGCCGUCCAUGCAAGCCGGAGUGGAUGCGUCACGUCAAGUACGAAGUGGGGUUGUGGGGUUUGGGAGAAAGUCCAGGCACGGUCAGUCGACGGACAGCCAAGCCAUAGGGCGCGGCGGGGCGGCCGUGAAAUGAUUUGUCGCCACCGCCUGGCCGAUGGCCCUGCCCUUGCCCUCCCUCUCCCUGCUCCUCCUCCCCCCCUCCCUCCGCCUCCGCCUCCCCCUCCCCCUCGCCCUCCCCCUCCCCCUCCCCCUCCGCCUCCGCCUCCCCCUCCCCCUCCUCGCUCUUUUGCAUUGGGUUCUGUUUAGUUUGGGCAGGAAUCUACAACCCCUCUCCUUUCCCCUUCCCCUUCCCCUCAAACCCACCCCCUUCCCCCUCCCCCCUCCCCCUCCCCCUCCCCUUGUCCCCUCCCCUCCACCUUGGGGUGUCCGUCGCAAAUGACCGCCAGCACGAAUGCGGCCUGGGCGCGGCUGUAGAGGUCGAUGUGGCCGUCCACAGAGUCCAGGUAGCGGAUGAAGUAGAGGUGGCCCGCGUCCUUGACCAGGUCAACCUUUGGGGGAGGGGGGGUUGCAAGGAUGUUUGGAAAAGCGGUACAGGAUGCACUGAAGACUGCAGACGAGGGGUACAUUCAUGAUUAGGUACAUUCCUGAAGAAGGUGGGGCAGGGGUUGUAAAUACCAGCCCAAACUGAACCAGACCAAGCCUGGGGCAAGGGACCGGUAGGGGCUACCGGGGGAGGAGGUCCCAUGCCCGAGCCCAACGAUUAAGUCCCAUCAGCGCCCCCAACACGCGACUGUUUCCUUACGGGAUUGGUUCAACGUUAACCCCACACACACCCGCGCACACACCCGCACCCGCACCUGGCAGCUGCGGUCUAGCGCCAGCACCUUGGCCCAGAUGAACACCAGCGUGGAGCGCAGGUCGGAGGAGGUGGUCUGGGAGGGGGGGGAGAAGGUGGGGAGAAGGAGGUGGGGAGGAGGAGAAGGUGGGGAGAAGGUGGGGAGAAGGUGGGGAGGAGAAGGUGGGGAGGAGGUGGGGAGGAGGUGGUGGGGGAUUCCAUGCAUGAUGCACUGAGACGGGAUGAUGCUGAUGCAGGUUGGGGAGGGGAGCAGGGUGGGUGCAGAAGCAAAGGUAUGCGGCCAACUCACUACAAGCUAGCGGAAACAACACCCUCCACCUCCCUCUCCCUCCCCCUCGCCCCCUUUGGUAACGACUUCGUCCGCAGUCUUCAGCGCAUCCCACCACUUUCCUAACCAUCUUUGCAACCCCUUCUCCCUCUUCCCCCCUCCCAGCCCCCCCCCUACCACACAAACACACACACAAACACAAACACAAACACACACACACACACACACACACGCACACACACACACACACACCUGCAGCAGCUUGAGCACGUAUGGGAAUAUGCCCACGCUCAGCGCCAGCUCCACCGCCCAUGGCCCCAUGUCCAGGAAGCGACCCAGCAGCACCAGCGCGCGCAGCCGGUGGACCUGGCUCAGGAGGACCUGAAAGGUGGGGGGGGAUCACAUUCAUGAUCAAUCAAGAACAAGGGAGAGGGGUAACCAUUUAUGAUUAGCUUAGGAAAUGGUGGAGGGUAGGCAAUCCUGGGCCCUGGGGGAACAGCAAUCGUGGGUGUGGGGUGUGGGCGGGGGUUAUUUGCCCGGGCCCAAAGGAAUCGGUCCCAGUAGUCAAGGAACCGUCGGAGGUUAUGAGGGGCGGCGGUGGGGGGCAGUGCGACGACACGCGCCAUGUCCGCCCCAUCUCCCACGCAGCAGCCCGAUGCAUCCCCCUCCUUCCCUCCCCCCCUCUCAUCACCCCACACGCCUACAACCCCACCUGCAGCACGAUGGGCAGCUGCUCCGGCGGCUUCUUGUCUCGGCUGCCGUGCGCCAGCCACAGCUCAAACGCCGUCAGCUGCUCCGAGAAGAAGGCUGUGUGUGAGAGGGAAGGAGGAGAGGGAGGGCGGGAGGGAGGUAGGGGGCGGGUGUGUGUGGGCCAAGGAGUGGGAAGCGGAACGGAGCAUCCUGCCUACUUUUUCCAUGGGGCACAUAACCCCCCAUUUCCUCUCUCCCUCUCCCCCACCCCCCGCGAUAUUUAUCGCCGGCGCCGCUCGCCCUGCUGCUCCACGACGCCUCGGCCCCCAUCCCAUAAGAAUUAUCCCUUGCAACUAACGCCUCUGCCUGUGCUCUGCUCGUUUUCGUUGGCUUUGGUUUAAUUGGGGCUGGAAUUUACAACCCACCCCCCGCCCUCCUCCUCCCCCUCCACACCCUCUCCUCCCCCUCUCCCCCAACUCACGGCUGGGCUUGAACUCGGCCUGCUGGUCGCUGGACAGGGUGGGCAGCUGCACCAGGCACAUCUCAGCAGCCAGGUCCCAGGCCUGGGGGGGAUAGCCAUCCAUGGGAUGGUGUGUAUCAAAUAUGAAGUGAAGUGCCGACGUCCAGAGGUACAGCGGGCACACGCGACGCAUUCCAUACAUGGGGGGGGCGGGGGGGGGGGAGGUACAAACAUGAUUAGUUAAGGAAGUUGUAGGCGGUAGGGGUGGGUGUAGAUGGGUGGCGUAGGCGGUAGUGGGUGGUGGUGCGGCGCAACCCAACACACCCGGUGUUCCCAGGUGCUCUCGCAUUUAAAUCGCUCUGGCUCCCUCCUUCCCCCCACCUCUUCCCCACCUCUCCCCCACCUCUCCCUCCCUCCCUCCCUGUCCCCCCUCCUCAACCUACCUGCCACAUGGGGUGCUGGUGUGUGGGCGGCAGUCGCGGGUAGCUGACGGGCGUGCAGCCGGCGGCGGACAUGAUGCGCUCAGCCAGCAGGAAGUUGCGGAACAGGCUGGCGGUUAGCAGGUCCUGAGGGAGGUGGGGAGUUGGGGAGUCGGGGAGUUGGGGAGUUGGGGAGGGGUUUCGGGGGGUUUGGGGGGGUUGGGAGGGGGGAUUGCAUUCACGAUUAGUUCGAUCUAUCGCGCCGCGCUCCUCCACCAUUCCCAUAAUAUCAGCAUCUCCUCGCAAUCAUCUGGCAUAUCAUCACGAAAUCAGUCAACGCGCAAUCAACGCGCAAUAAAUUAUUGUAUCGUAUUUCUUUUCCUCUCACCGAGCGGAAAAGCUUCUGGAACAUGGGCCGCGGCAGCACGUUCCAGGCGAUGGUGUCGGUGAUGGCCGUGAACACCCAGUUGAGCUCGCCCAGCGGCGACUUGCGGUCGGUCUGCUUGCCGGGGAUGCGGUCGAUCAGGUCCUUGGUCAGGCCGUCGUGGCGCAUCAGGCUGCGGCUGCAGAACCAGCGCAGCGCCACCUGAGUGGGGGGGGGGAGGGGGAGGAGGAAGGAGGGGUGGGUAGGAGGGGUGGGUGGGUAGGAGAGGAGGAGUGCGGCGUGUGUUGAGGGGUAGGUUGCAAGGAUGUUUGGAAAAGCGGUACAGGAUGCACUGAAGAGUGGGGUGACAUUCAUGAUUACUUAAGUGGGGGUGGGAUUGCUCGCCUCCGUCCACCCCGCCCCGCUCUGCACCAAUGCCAGUGCCCAUGCCCGCAACCCCACGUCCCCAAACCCAUCAUCCCCAACCCGGCGUCCCAAACCCAGCAUCCAUAACACAAUCACAGCGCCACACACACAGCCCCACACACCCAGCCCCACCCCCAGCAAUAGCCCCCACCCCACCCACCACCACACACACGCGCGCCCCCACCUUUAUGGGGGUGGUGAGGCAGGCCGUGAACACGUCCGCGGGCAGGUCGGGGUUCUGCGGCAGCGUCUCGCCCGCGCCACAGGCGCCCAGCACAAUGAUCUCCUGCAGGGAGGGAGAGUGACGAGUUGCGUUCAUGAUGAGUUACAGCAAGGGGGGAGUUGUAGAUUCCAGCCCAAACUAAACGGAACCCAAUGUGAUAGAGCGAGGAGGAGAGCGUGCGUGGGGGAGUUGAGGAGUCGAGGAGUGAGGGAAAAGGAGGGCGUACAUCCAGAUGCAGUUCAGGUCUCCUCGAGGCGACGCGUAUCAUCACUGAGCACCCGGCGGGCUGCAGAUCCAGAUCGCUGCCAGCUUCCAAACCGACUGAGAAUCCGUCCCCACCUCCCGCGCCUCCCCCCUGUCGCCCCCCCCUCCCUCCCUCCCUCCCUCGCUCCCUCCCCCCCAAUAUGAUUGCGUUGUUACAAGAGAGGACGACGCGCUAUGCCUCACCAGGCCUCGCGAGGCGUCGUGCCCCCCCGGCCCGCCCGCGCGCUGGUCCACGAGCUGCCUCAGUGCGUUGAGGAUGAGGCCCGCUGCCGAGCAGUCCAGCACGUAGAUGCAGGGCGUCUCAACCCACGACUGUUGGCGGAGCGAGUUGGGGUUGCAUUCAGGGUUAUUUAAGAUUUAAGGAGUGAAGGCGAAGCCAGGAGCAGGGGGUCGGGGUUGGGUGGGAGAUGGGCAGAAAGGGUAAGGGGGAUGAAAGGGACGGGGAGAUGAAAGGAUGGGAGGUGGUGGCAUGAUGCUUCCAUUCAUCCGCCCAGCCCUGGACGUCGGCACCUCACACUCGUGAUCAAAAUCACCGCGUCUCGCGUGGGCGGCUACUCCCCCCUUGGCCCCUCCCCAUCCCCCUUGCCUGCCGUACAGCCCCGUACAGCCCCGCCCUGCCUGCCGUACCUGCAGCUCGUACACGGACAGGGGGAUGUACUGCGUGUACCGGGAGUUGAACACCCAGAUCUCGCCGUUGGCGGUUGGCCGCGGCACGCCGUGGCCGUUGUAGUGGAACAACACCCGGUCGUUCUGUGUAGGGGGUGAGGUGUGGGUUUAGGUGUGUAGGUGUGGGUUUGUAGGUGUGGGGGUGGGGGUGGGUGUAGGUGUGUAGAGCGCGCGUGUAUUGGGGUUUUAGGGUCGAUGCUCCGUUCCUAUGUCUCACUAUGGACUGGACCCCCAUUUUGGUUCGACUUAGUUUGGGCUGGUGUUUACAACACCCCCCCCCCGCCCCCAGCACCCCCGCCUCCCUCACCUUGGCGUAGCGGCGCGCGCUGGCGCACAGCUUCUUGACGUCGUCCACGGUGGGGUCCAGGUGCAUCUUGUACUUGGCCUUGGGCUGCCAGCGCUCGUACUGGGCCUGCAGGUUCUUGCCUGCAUGGCAGUGGAGGGAGGGAGGGAGGGAGGGAGGGAGGGAGGAGAGGUGGGGAGGAGAGGUGGGGCGGGGCGGGGCGUGAGGGGAAGUGUGUGUACAGAAGCGUGCUGGACGACGCGAGACCGUGCCCGUGCCCGUGCCCGUGCCCGUGCCCGUGCCCGUGUGUGUAAAGUGAAUCACAGGCUGGGCUAGCGGCACGGCUGGGAGGGGUCACGGCUGGGAGAGGCCGCGGGGGCAGGAAUGCAGGCAGGCGGGGGAAGACGCUGGGUCGGGAGGAGCAGGAGGAGCAGGGGGCGCAGGGGGAGGCGGCAGCGCCGUCAGCUGGCCUGGUCCGGUCUGGUCCGGUCCGGUCUGGUCUAGCAAGCUGCUGGUCGCCGCGUGGUCUGGCUCGUGCACCGGUCCCAAGCUGCUGCUUGCUGCUGCUGCCGCUGCGGCGGCUGCGGCUGCAGCGGCGGGUGCCGUAGCCUCUUGCAGCUUGCACUAUCCCGACCCCGAGCGCCGGCAACUUCACCCCCCCCACACACACACACACACCACUAGCACACACGCGCAGCUAGGGCGGCGGCAUCGCCCAGUCACGACCCCCGCAGCGACCGCAGCCGCAGCCGCAGCAGCAGCCGCCGUGCCAAACCCCCACAGCAGCAGCAACGGCGUUGCGGCGUUGCGGCGGACGCGGCGCCACAGGUGACCCAAGGAGGCGGCCGCCGCGGCGGCGACAGGUUGCUACUGCAGCUGUGGCGGCGGCAGCGACGGCGGCGUCAGUCGGCUGUGGCUGCGCUUGACUUUGUGGCGGCGGGGGCGUUGGCGGCGUUGGCGGCCACAGCCGUGCCACCCGUGCUGUGCAGCCUUCCUCGCCGCCGCCGCCGCCGCCCCCGACAUCACCCCCGUCCGAUGCCUGCGCGGCGGCCGGGGCCGCUGCCACGCCCACAGCCCACCCAUCCACCCCAGCCGCGGCCGCACGCUCCACAGCCCGCAUCGCUGGUGCCGGCAGCCGCCGCCGAGCCCGCGCAGGCGGGAGGCAGCCUUGUGCCGCCGCUGCCGCACCGCCGCCGCCGCCGCCGCCGCUGCUGCACUCAGCCCGGCUGCAUCGCUCGCCGCGCUGUGGUGCAUCUGGCGGCAGCGGCGACGGCGGCGGCGGCAGUGGCGGCAGCAGUGGUGGCGACGCCCCCCCCCGGGGCCGUCACGCGGCACCCCGCCGCCACAAUGGCCCCUCCGCCCGCCGCCGCCACGUCAGCCCCGCAGCCGCGGUCGUGUUUAACUGACUCCCUGACUCCCUGACUGACCGAUUGUUGGAUCCGACAGAUGAAUCGACACACGUGGCCACGGCCUGUGCCGCCGACAACCCGGGCAACCCCACCGCCGCCACCGCGCCGGGGCCGCGAGCUACCGCCGCUUCUGCCGCCGCCGCUGCCGCCGCUGUCCCUCCAUCCCCUCCCUGCUUGUUUCCCGCACACGCAGCGUGCACACGAGGCACAUUACGUUACUGCAGCUCGCUGCCCUCUGCGGCUUCCGCUUCCGCCGCCGCUUCCGCCGCCGCUGUCGCCAGCUCCUCCUCUCUGGGCUGCUGCUCACCCGCCGACAGAACCAGGCCGCCCCCACUGCCGUCGCUCCCACCGCCAGCGCGCAGUCCCCAGCCUUGCACUGCCCACGCCCACGCCUUGCCAAGUGAUGCAGCCGGCAGCUUCCAUCUCGGCCGCCUCCACCCCCGACACCACCGCCGCCAGCCCCGCCGCCAGCCCCGCUAGCCGCCGCUGUCCCCAAGCCCCAGCCCCCGCGCCCGCCGAUGCGCAGCUUGGCGCGCCGCGCCGCGCCGGCAUCGCGCGGGCAGCAACCACGGCGGGCUGCCGCCCAGUCACGCCGCCACUGCUACUGCCACUGCUGCUGCUGCUGUUGCUGUUGCUGUUGGCGCUAUUUGCUAUUUUGCUGUUGUUACUGCUGCUGCCAUUGCUGCUGCCGUUUGCGCUGCUGCCGAGGAGCUGGCAGUCCUGGCCACCGCCGGCGCCGUGCCACCGCCGCUGCUGCUCCUGGUUCUGCCGCCGCCGCCGCCCCCGCCGCCGUCGCUGCUUCUACCGCUCGCGCUGAAGCCCAGCUGCACCGACCAACUGGGAUGCGCAUACUUGCAUGCGUGUGCAUGCGUGUGUAUUGAGUGCCCGCGUGUGUGCGCGCCACAUCAAACAAAGACACCGUCGCCCCCUCAGACCCGGGCACAAACACACGCACGCUGGCGGCCUCCCGCAGGGGCCGAAGCCCCCCCUGGAAACCCCCACCAACCCCCAACAGCAACCCCCCCGUGAGACCGUCACUUGCGGGACUUAGCUCUGUAGCGCGGCCUCACCUAUGUGCUCCAGCGCUUUCGCCGGCUGGGCGGACAUCGGGUCAACCCAGCACUCCAGCCGCGCGCACGGCGAUAUCUUGAUAACGUCAGGCGGGUCAACGCCGAUAUUGAGGCACAGCACGAGCGCAACGCUGGUCGUCUUGACUUUGUCCUUCUGCCGCCACUUGGAGACCAGCCCGGGAUCGGGCCCGCGAGAGUCGCCAUCGUCGGCCGUGCAGUCGUGCCGCUCCUGCGAGCAUGUCAGUAACAUGCGUCUCGACGAGCAACACAGCUUCUGUCACGCGAAAGGCUGCGCCAUUUCGUAGCCAGCCAGGAAAAAGCCCUCUUCCCCGAAAGCCCUCGUGACAAACGUUUGAGCCCGCGACAGCAACGCCGAGCGGGUUCGCACCUCGCACAGAAUGCGUGGGGGCGGCUUUGAAGGGUCUCCCUCAUUCGCCUGGGUCAGAGGUGGGACCUGCGCGUGCACACGACGGAGGCGUGAGUCCCGAUUCCACGUUCCCCAGUCCAGACAUGAACCAUACAAGGCACUUGCCGGGUCGCUGGUGGUCAAGCGCCUGCUAAUUUCGUCUGCGAGCCCAGCUCCAACGCCCUCAGCGGCAUUUGGUUCAGGUCCGUCUUCAUUCUCCAUUUUUGCUGACGACCACUAGACGUGUCACCUAAUUGCAGGCAUCAUGCCCGCCACUGGAGCACAAAACAGGUCGAGGACAACAGAAACGACGUCCAGCGACACGCCAGGCUUCUUGCAAGCUCAACUAAGGUGUUCUGCAAGUUUUCCUUGUGAUACACUUGCCAUACUGCUUCACGCAAGCAACAAACAAGCAAGUGUCGUGUUUGCAUGAAGUCAUGAAGGCCAAUCGGUGCCAAAAUCGAUUGGCUCACAAGUGCAGUGUCCUUUUAGUAGCGCACUGCUUCUACAUCAACAAGAAACAUAACGAAAAUGCAGGUUUCACGCGCUGCGGUGUGCGCGCGUUCGAGCUUUGUUCGCGUGCAAGCCUUUUCGUCGUGCCCGGUCGUUCGUGUCAGCACUUGUGCUCGUGUGCGUGUUAACAGCGCUUGCCGGAGCGCUGCUCAGCCUCGCCAGCGGCCAUCGCGCUUCGUGGGCGCCCGUUCGGAGCUCAGCGACUCGCUAAAGGAGACGGCUGCGCUUGAUGAGCUGAUCGACAAGCUCCUGAGUGCCAAGUCACAGCAGCAGGUGCGGGUUCGGCAAAAAGGGUCGGUCGCGCCUCGAUUCCUGCCGGCGGCAAGCGCGACGACGCACAGGCUAUUGCAUAGACGCAGUGUUGGCAAACCAGGAUUAGGGUCGGCCGAAUCCGAUCGGGGGGAGCGCCCAGGCGAGUGUGUGCCCGCCGGGUUUGCGAGGGUUGGCGACAGGCCCCUCCACGAGCAACACCCACGCACACAACGCCCGCAGACACACACGCACGCUGCGCGACGUCUCCACCCUGCCUCUUUCCUCUUCACACCCUUCACCCCUGCCACCCUCACUCUGUGUUCCAACCACCACCUCCUCACCGCCUCGCCCCGCCGCUUCCCCACCACCACGACCACCACCACCACCACCACCACCUGCCGGUGCCCAUCCCCGCAUCUUCACUCGCCGCAUGUCUUUAUCUUUUGCUUCCCGCAGCUGGCCCAGCUGGUUGCGGAGAAUGUUGUGGCUGUGGACACCAAGUUCUGGAUGCGCAUCGCCACCCGCAACGACACGGCCGCAUCCAAGGAGGACAAGGACAAGCUGCAGGUGCGGGGAGGGCUGGGGACUCGUGGGAGGGUGGGGAUGGGGAGGAGGGGAGGGGAGGGAGGGCGAUGAGAGGGAAGAGAGGACGAAAGGGAGAGGAGAGGCGGGAGAGGGAGAAUGGGGAGGUGAGAGAGCGGGGAGGGAGGAGGUGGAGGCGAGGAAAGAGGGAAAGGAGAGGGAGACGACGGAGGAGAGGGAGGAUGGGGAGGCGGACGGUCGUGCUUGCCCCUUACCAACAUGCGCACAGCGCCCCCCACUCACCCAACCUGAGCCCCCACCACUCCCACCCCCUCUGUCCUGCUGCUGCUGCGGCUGCUGCUGCUCCUGCUGCCGCUGCUGCCGCUGCUGCUGCUGCCGCGGCUGCUGCUGCCGCUGCUGCCGCUGCCGCUGCUGCCUCACACGCCAUGACUUACUGCUGCUGCUGCUUCCGCUGCUUCCUCAGGGCCUGGCCACGUCUGUGAUGGUGCUUGUGGACACGGUGCGGCGGCGCACGGAGCAGCAGCUGGCGGACAGCGGCGCAGUGCUGCAGGUGGGGGGAGAGGGGUGCUGGGGAGAGGGGUGGGGGUGAGGGGAGGAGGUGGAGAGGGGAUGGGGAAGGAGGUGGAGAGGGGAGGAGGGGAGGGGAGGGGGAGAGGGGAGGAGGAGAGGGAAGGGGGAGAGGGGUUGUAGGUGUGUAUGAUGUGUACGUGUGUGUGAUGUCGAGGGGAGGAGGAAAGGGGAGGUGUGUGAGAUGGGACAGGGUUCAGGCAGGUUGGCGAGGUCCCAUAGGGUGCAGCUGACGCCCGUACCCCAAGCAGACAGUAAACAGUUUGCAGCGGCAGAGCAGGAGUGCAUGGCUGGUCGAACGCCGGAGUUACUGUACCGACAAGUUGCUGGCUGGCUGGAAGUUUGCUGAUGCGCAUUCCUCACGCUCCGGGCGCCCGGCCAGGCGAUAGCACCACACAGACACACCACAACGCCACACUCGCUCGCGAUGCAGAGGAAAGGGGAGGUGGAGAGGGAAGGAGGGUGGAAAGGAGAGAGGUGGACACGACCAGAGGGGGGAGGGGCAGCCGCGAUGCCGCACGUGGGUGUAUGUGUGGGGCUAGCUGGCCUCCUUCACGGGGUCCACUACAGCCUUGACACCCCCUAUGUCGCACAACCUCUUUUCCAACCGUCCUCGCAACCCCACCACACACACACAUACACAGGACAUCCUGGUUGCGGCCGCGGACGACAAGGGCGAGUGGUACCUGCCGCUCACAGACGACCAGGUGGGACACAGGGGGACACAACGGGGGUGAGGGGGGUGAGGGGGGUUGGGGGUGGGGUGACAGUGGAUUUGGUGGGGGUGUGGCGGGGCUGAUGCGGUGUGUUUAUGGUGGGCGGGUGGGCAGGUGAGACGGGCUUGGGUGCGCGGCGGCUGGGUGCUGCAGGUCUUUGCCGUUGUCCGCCUUGGCAAACCCCAUCUUCUUCUGCCCCCAUUCCGCGCCUGAAUUCCAGAUUGAGUCUGUGCGCUAGUUUGGCUCGGGUUGGCCUAGUUUGCGCUGCUCUUCACAACCUCCCCCCCUCCGCCUCGCCCCCUCCCUUCUGUCGCAGGUUGAGUCAGUGCGCGAGGCGCUCAACCGGCACCGCGACCGGCUGGAUGAGGCGUUGCUGUCCAACGCCUUCGCCUGGAUCAAGAAGAGCUCGGAGGACGGGUGAGGGGGGGAGGAGGGGAGGAGGGAGGAGGAGGGGAGGAGGGGAGGAGGGGAGGAGGGGAGGAGGGGAGGAGGGGACGAGGGGAGGAGGGGAGGAGGGGAGGAGAGGAGGAGGGGAGGAGGGGAGGAGGGGAGGAGGGGAGGAGGGGAGGAGGGCUGGAGGAGGGGCUUCGUAGGGGGGCAGCAUGGCAUGGGCGACGACGAGGGGGCGUGUAGGUACCAGCCUACUGCUACCGCCUGGCUUGCCGACUGCUACUGCCACCGCUGCGCCUGCUACUGCCGACUCUGCUCACACUGCCGACCCGAUGCUACUGCCAACUGCCAAUCCCAUUGCUACUGCCGCCUGCUGCUGCUGCUGCUGCUGCUGCUGCUGCUGCUCCUACUACUACUACUGCUGCUACUGCCGCUCCCCACAGCUUCGACGGCAUGGUGCAGCUGCUACAGCUGGUGCUGCAGCUGUACGCGGCGCGGCAGCUGGCCACCGGGGAGACGGAGGGCGUGGAGGGGGCAGUCAACAAGGUGCGUGGCUGCGUGGCGGGUUGUAAACACCAGCCCGAACUAAACCAAACCAAGCCAACAUAGCGGAGGGGUGGCGGGGGCGGGAAGGAUGGCGGGCGGGUAGUCAACUUGACAAAGGAGACCCCUCCUCUGCGCCCUGGCCGCUGGCCGUUCGUCCAUACACGUCUCGCAGCUGCUGCUUCAGUUUCACUGCUUCGAUCGCGAUGCCCACCCGCCUCUUUCCUGCCCGCCUGCCCCCUGCCCCUGGGAUUGGUCCAGAGUGAACCCCUGCCCCCUGCCUCCUUAUACCAAUUAACACACCUCUCCCUCCCCUCCUCCCCCGCCCUCCUACCUCCUCCUGCCCUGCCCUCCCCUCCUCCCCCCCAGCUGCUGGGCUCGCAGGAGAAGCAGUGGACGCCGCUGCUGCGGCAGCUGGUGGCGGAGGGGCAGCUGACGGAGGCGGCCUUUAUGGAGGCGCUGCAGCGCAAGAUGGAGGGCGUGGUGCUGGGGCUGCAGAGCGGCAGCUACGCGCAGCGCGUGCAGGUGUGUGCGGGGCGUGCGGGGCGUGGGGUGUGUGCGGAGCGUGGGGUGUGUGGGGGCUUGGAAGGGUCAUAGCUGGGACCCGCGGGAUGGUGACCAUUUUGCACAUUUCCACAACCCACCCACCCACCCACCCACCUACCCACCCAACCCAACCCAAGCAACCAUGAAUCCCUGCCUCCAUACACAUGCACCCCCGCCCCCCCGUCUGCCUUUUCCUGGGCUAAUCAUGAAUGUAACCCCCACCUCGUCGCCCAGGCCGAGUACCUGAAGGAGGCGGAGGCGCGCGCCAAGUCCGUGUUCCAGGAGAUCGCGGCCUCAGCGCCCAAGCAGGCGUAGGGCGCAGGCAGGCAUAGGGAGCAGAGGGGCGUAGGGAGCAGAGGGGUGCGUUGGUGGUUGUGAAUGGGGGGCGCAAGGGCAGGUGCGCAGGGGCGCCGGCGAGGGAUGUGUAUGUGGGGAUGUGGGUGGCGUGAGGGAUGGGGAGGGGGAGGGGGGAGUGGCGGCCGCGGGCACGCGGCGUGCGGUGGAGGUGGGCUGACGCAGCCAGGAGGCAGCGGCAACGGGGGCAGCGGCAAGCAAAUGGCGGCAGCAGCAAGGAGGCAGCAGUAGCAGCAGCAGCAGCAGGAGGAGGCUGUGGUGUGGGCUAAAGCGUGCGACACGGAAGAAAGGCAGGGGUGAGAGGCCUGAGAACGGAUGCCCGGGGGAUGCCGCCGCCCCCAGCGCCACGGCCAGGAUUGCAGUGCCGUACUGUUUUGGCUGUGUGGGCUGUGUGGGCUGCAUGGGGUUGAGAGUGGAAAUCGAGAGGGUGGGUUGAGCGAGACAGUAGCUCGGCCCGGCAAUGCUGGCGCUGGCUGCUGGAGUAAGCGGUGACGGAGAUCGGAGGGGGGACGAGAUGGUGGGCUAGCCGGUGUGAAGGCUAGAUAGGACGUCGAAGCGAACGGCAGUGGUGCAAAAGCAGUUCUUGGUCAAUGUCGUACUGACUCCGCUCAUCUACCGUACUGUCUACAUGCGGCAGCGCUGCGUGUGGCUUGCUUUUAUUUUUGCGGUUGGAAUGUUGCGUGGCACCGACGCGCGGGAAAGCUGCCGAUGGCGCAUCCUAUAUGAUGGGGGGAGGGACGCAAGGGGGAGGGCGGAUUGCCGUACUGCUUUCGUGGGCGCGAAAAUGGCUCGCGAGGUGACUACGCUUUCCUGCCCCUUGCCAUGUUCCAUCACGAGCUCGCGACUACGCUUUCCUGCCCCUUGCCAUGUUCCAUCACGAGCGAGGCGUGGGAGUCCCAGAGGUGCGGGUUUUAACGUCAUCAUAACGCCGCCUCGAGUCCGGUAAGAAGCACUGCCAGGCUUAUCUCUCAAAGCGAGCAAAGGAUUGGGGGAAACACGAGGGUUUUCCUGAAGCCUGAAGGCAUCAAAAUUGCCCGAUCGAAGUCCAGGCGUGUGCCCGCCAAGCAUUCUGCGUCAUUAUCAACGCCGUUAAAUUGCUACAGCAACAGUCAUUUUUCUUUCCGUGCAGGCCAUAAGUAGCUUCAGGGCACAGCUUGUCUUGAACUGAACACUUUCCUCCGACCUCGUGCUUCACUAGAGCCCAUCGCUGCAUCCUUGACAAAGGUUUUCUAUGUUAAGUAGUUGAAGCGAACUGCCUAGAGGACGCUUUCCGGCGCGUUUGACCUCCGGCAAGCGGAAGGCUUCCUCUCGCUUAAACGAUGCCAUCCUGGGCCCCAGCGCCCGACUUGGCGGAUGAGGACAUAGUGGAAGAUGAUGACCUGUACGUGGGCGGGUUUGGAGGUCGCCGGACAAGUGCACCGUCUGGGGGCAAUCCGCCUCGCGGGCUUACUGCGACGACCAGCUUCAAGGUGAGCGCUGAAACGGGACGCUGAAACGGGACGCUGGAAUGUCGUCGGCGCGGUAGCAGUCGGGGAAGCUGCUUUGUCUGGGGCGAGUUUGAGUUGUGCGACCCCCUCCCCCCGCCAUGCAAAGCGUGCGCACGGCCCGUCACUGGGGCCUGGUGUAAACACCAGGAGUUGACUCGCCCCCCCCCCCACCCCCGUCCCAAAAAACACACAGGACCACAGCAUCCUUGGAUCCGCCUCCGUGUCGGCCAAGGUGCUUAUGCCCUCCAACUCCAUGCCACACGCCGGGCCCGUCGGCGGCACGCACGCGGCCGCGCCCCCGCCCGCGCCCGCGCCGCUGCCCAAGCCCCCCGCCUCCAAUGUGGGCGUCUACCACCGCGGCGCGCCCAUCAUCGCCACCGCCUCCGCCGCCGCCGCCUCGCGGCCCGCCUCGGGGCUGCUGCUCCGCAACCCCCGCGCCAGUGCGCCCGGCGGCACCGCCGCCUCCACCACCGCCGACGGCGGCUACGCCGGCGCCAGCAGCAGCGGCUACGGCGCCAGCGGCGCCAACGGCGGCGCCUCCUUCAGUCGCAACCAUGAGGGCGGCUACUACGGCGGCAGCGAGGCGGCGGACCGGCUGGACAGUGUGGUCAGCCGCAUGCGCGGUGACAUCCUGGGCGGAGACGACGCCUCCACGGACUCGAGCGUGCACGGCGGCGGCGGCGCCGGCGGCGGCAGGAUGGGCGGCAGUAGGACGGGCGGCGGCGGCAGCGGGUUUGGAGCUGGGGCGGGGGCGGGGGCAGGGGCGGGCGGGUUGUCGGGUGUGUUGCGAAGUCACAACGCGCCCGCGUCCGGGCCGGGGGGGCAGGGCGGCUACGGCAACGGCGGCGGCUACGGCGGCGGCUACGGCUACCCGGAGAAGGGGGUUGGUGGCGGCGGGCAUCUGCCGCCGGGGGCGGCGUCGCAGGCCCAGGCGCAGCAGCCGCUGCGCGGCGGCCCCAUGCCUGGGCUGGACAUGGGCGGCGGCGGCGGUGGAGGAGGCAGUGGAGGAGGUGGCCGGCCGCCGCUGGUCCGCAACCUGAGUGCCCACGUGCACAGCAGCAGUCACGCCGCGCCCGUCACGGUGGCCGUGCUGCCCAAGGCCGCCGCCAGCGCGCGGCACCUCAGCGCCGGCGGCGGAGGCGGCGGCGCCUCGGCGGUGGCGGAGCAGCUGCAGCACCCCCCGCGGCAGCUGGCGGCGCCGGCGCUGUCCGCCUCCUACUCGGGCGAGGCGGGUGAGGCGGGCGUGGGGCUCUCCACAGCGCCCGCGGCGGCAGAGGAUGCGGCCGGCUUGGGUUUGCGGCCAAGCCUCGCGCAGCACGCGCAGCACCACCACCAACAUCAGCAGCACAUGCAGCAGCACACGCAGCAGCAGCAGCAGCAGUCGACACCGGCGCCUUCGGUCAUGCUGCGCGCGUCCGCCGGCGCCAUUGUGGCACCGGCGGGCGCGGCGGCAGGGGGCAGCCACCGCCGCCACGACGGCGGCGGCAGCAGCGGAGGUGGAGGCGGCGGGGCUUGGGCUGACGGGCCAGACACAGGCGGCGAUGAGCGGCUUAGCGGCGGCGCCCAGCGGCCCAGCAGCGGCGGUGGUGGUGGCGGUGGCGGUGGACUGCUCGGGCUGUUCAGCCGCAGCAGCUCGGCCCGGCGUAAGUCGGAGAACGCGGGCGGGCAUGGGGCGGAGCCGCCCGGCGGCGUCGGCGGCGGCAAGGGCGCUAACAGCAAUGGCAGCAGUAGCAAGGUCGGUAAGGAGUCGAGGAAGAGCAGCAGUGGCGGGGCCGGCGGCGACGGCGAUGGGAAUGAUGGGGAUGUGCGGGAGGUGGCGGCGGCGGGCGGCGUGGGCGGCGGGCGGCCGCCCAGCGGGCUGCUGAAGCGCACUGCAAGUGCGCUGGUGUCGUGGGCUCGGUAGCAGCGCGGGAGCAGCGAGGGAGGAGCGAGUGUAAACGUGAGCGGCAGUGUGUCGACCGCGGAGUGGCUGUGUGUGGGCGUGUGAGUAGGUAGCACAACAGCAACAACGCAUGAUGCAUGGCCACAAACAGCUCGCCCGGUGACUUGCAUGUCGUACUCACCGACUCACGUACCUGGCGGCGCUGGAGGGCAGUGAGGCUGGUGGCCAGUGCAGUUGCAGGCUGGGUUCCUGCUAGCGAGCACGAGGCGGCACAGGCAGGCUCUGUGUGUAUAUAUCCUUAUAUUGUCAGCGGCUAUCGUAUUCACAAGCCGUGUCAGUAUUAUUGUAGAGUAACUGAGUGGCGGGUGGUUGGAGCGGGGGCGCCAUAGCGCACCAUCGCCGCCAAAUCGUAGCGUCGCCAUCGCGGCCUUUGCAAAGCAAGCGCAUGGCCUGCGCGCUGCCGCCGCAGCGAGCCGGUCAUUAUUUGAAUAUGGUAGUGUUUUGAGUGUUGGGUCUUGGUCCACAUUGGACUCAUGGCGGGCCUCUGCAUCGCCAGCACGUCAGGCCGGGGGCCACACACGAAGCCACGCACGCUCACAUCUCACAACGCAGUGCAGUACCUAGGACGUGUGGGCCGCGUGUGCGUGAGGGUUGUAACAGUGGCGUACUGACGUUGCGAUGCGCGGCACGAGCUCGUGUUGUUGGCAACGCAUGUGGCACGCGUAUGCCGGCAUGUAAAGUGAUGCGGAAGAUGCCACGCGCAAGCGCCUUGCCUGGCCUCCUGGAGCUGAGAGUGCGGUCAUGGCACAUCGACAGGCAGCAAACAGGUGCGGGCAGGCCGUGGAAGGGCAGUAAGGCACGGGCACUCGUUGCAGCCCCGAUACGGUAGUCGGGUGCAGCACGCGAGGGACCAGUGGCCAGUGCGCAGCCACGCAAGUGAACCACAGUGAACCCGAGAAACGUACGGCAAUCCGCAAUCGAGCAUGACAGGCUCCCCGUUUACUCGUGCCGUUUACCCCAGGCCACUUGCUUAGGCGCCAGGGCUCAGGGCACGUGGUGACUCACGAGGGCAGCCGGUGGCCCGGUGCCCGCCUGCCAGGUGUGCAGAGCGGUAGAGCCGCCCAGUUCCGCUUCUGAGCUGGCCGCCUGGCAGGACUGGAGCUCAUGUCCCUGUUUGCACCCCUAGGCCCUAGCUCCUGUCUGGCGGUGCCCGCAGUGCAGUGGGGCGGGUGGGCGUAGGAGUGCCAGGACCGUGCUAUCAGUAUCAGCUGCCUGUCGUGCUGACUUCCGCAUGUCGUGAGGCUUGCCCGCACUCUAGCCAAACGUUACCAUUCCCACCCGGGGCUCAAUUAGGCAAGGGAUACGGAAUCUUCUGCUUUUACACACCACCCAAUGUGGGGCAGCGUCCGUGUUGACUCUGAUCCCGGCUCCGCCCUUCGAAUUGUCCGUGACGGGCCGUUGAGUUCUGUCGAGACCCCCUCCAUGCACUUCCAUCCACCACUCCCGCCUCUCACUCACCACUCUCAUGCUUUGGAACUUGCACCUGCCUGCACGCCUCUCCCCUAAGGCCGCACCCAACUCAGUUGGAGCUAGGUGCCAUCUCGGUUUCUUAUAACAUCAUCGUCAUCCUACUCUACUUGGCAUGGCUCAGCAACGGCCUUCCGCGCACGACCCUAGCCAUUCAACAGCCCGGAUGCGUGCAGCCACAGCCUCAGUCGCGUUCGCUCCCACGGGCCGCUACGCAACAGAUAGCAGCCCGGGGCCUAUCUAGCUAACAACCACAAAUCCCACGUAGUCCGAACUCAACGCUGCACUUCAGCGCAUGUUGGCAAAAUCAAUCGCCGGCCGACCGACCAAUCAGCUCAGUCCUGCUCUGAGUAUGUAGACCGUGCGGGUGUCCCAAUCCAACCAGGUUGUUAAACACAAGGAGCACAAGACACGCGCGAAACACAGCAUCAGUGCUACAGCGCCGCCGGGCAUAUAGGUACGUAUUCACACACAACGCACAGCGGCGUCUGCCGUUCCCACACAUCAAUACAGCGCCCGGCCCACGUCCGGGCCCUAGGCCGCGCCACAGCCGCCCAACCGGCGCACCCACACACCCAGUCCACGGCGCCAGCCGUCAAACCCGCCGGCGCCUCCCGCACUCCUCAGUCUGGGGCGAAGCCGAUUAGUCGACCUCCUCGAUCUUGGGGCCGGCACCCGAGCCGCCCGAGGGGGCAGCGCCGGCGCCGGGCGCGCCGCCGGGCAUGCCGCCCGCGCCGGCGCCGCCCUGGUAGAGGCGGGUGAUGAUGGGGUUGCACACGCCCUCCAGCUCCUUGAGGUGGUGCUCGAACUCCUCCACCUCGGCCAUCUGGUUGGCCUCCAGCCAGUCCAUGGCGGCGGUCAGCGCCUUCUCCAUCGACUCCUUGUCCGAGGCGGACAGCUGGCUGGCCACCUUGUCCUCGCGGAUGGUGUUGCGCAUGUUGUAGGCUGCGUGGGGAGGAGGCAAGGGAGGAGGAAAUGUCAGCACCAUGGUCGUGCAAGGUCACGGCGUCAGGUCCGCUGCUAAUUGACAGGUCUGUCACACGCCCCGAUCAUGGCAAACCUCAGCCUAUCAGCUCUUCCAGCCCGCCCCAGUCCAAGAAAGCCAUACAGCUAAUCCCACCCGCAUGCGAACCCAACCCCUUCCAUCCCCGCUACGGCGCGCAUACACACAAUCACACCCGCUCACCGUAGUUCUCCAGCGAGUUCUUGGCCUCCACCUUCUUCUUCAGCUGCUCGUCGUCAGCCUUGUACUUCUCCGCCUCCUGCACCAUGCGCUCGAUCUCGUCCUUGGACAGGCGGCCCUUGUCGUUGGUGAUCGUGAUCUUGUUCUUGUUGCCGGUGGUCUUGUCCUCGGCAGACACGUUCAGGAUACCGUUGGCGUCAAUGUCGAAGAUCACGUUGAUCUGGGGCACACCGCGAGGCGCCGGCGGGAUGCCGGUCAGCUCGAACUUGCCCAGCAGGUUGUUGUCCUUGGUGCGCGCGCGCUCGCCCUCGUAGACCUGGAUCAGCACGCCGGGCUGGUUGUCGGAGUAGGUCGAGAACACCUGCUCCUUCUUGGUGGGGAUGGUGGUGUUGCGGGGGAUGAGCACGGUCAUGACGCCGCCGGCGGUCUCCAGACCCAGCGACAGGGGCGUCACGUCCAGCAGCAGCAGGUCCUGCACCUUCUCGCCGCCCUCGCCGGUCAGAAUGGCGGCCUGCACGGCGGCGCCGUAGGCCACGGCCUCGUCGGGGUUGAUCGACUUGUUCAGCUCCUUGCCGUUGAAGAAGUCCUGCAGCAGCUGCUGCACCUUGGGGAUACGGGUGGAGCCGCCCACCAGCACCACGUCGUGCACAGUCAUCUUGUCCAUCUUGGCGUCGCGCAGGCACUUCUCCACGGGGUCCAUGCACUUGCGGAACAGGUCCAUGCACAGCUCCUCAAAGCGGGCGCGGGUGAUGGAGGUGGCGAAGUCCACGCCCUCGAACAGGGAGUCCAGCUCGAUGGUGGUCUGCGCGGCGCUAGACAGCGUGCGCUUAGCGCGCUCGCAGGCGGUGCGCAGGCGGCGCAGAGCACGGGGCGAGGUCUUCAGGUCCUUCUUGUACUUGCGCUGGAACUCGUUGGCGAAGUGGUUGACCAGGCGCUCGUCGAAGUCCUCACCGCCCAGAUGGGUGUCACCGGCAGUGGCCUUGACCUCGAAGAUGCCCUCCUCAAUGGUCAGCAGCGACACAUCGAAGGUGCCGCCGCCCAGGUCGAAGAUGAGCACGUUGCGCUCGCCCAGGCCGCUGUGGUGGGAAGGGAGCAAGGGAUGGGUGGGGAGGGAGAAGGUUAGCGUCGAGAGCAGGAACCGUGUGUUUGCUUGACCGCGGUCCGCUGCUUCGCUAGGGGCGCAUACGGCGCGCUGAAGGGCACGAGCACGGAUGCUGCGCGCUGGCUCGUGGUGGCUGGUUUUGGUCCCUUGGCCCAGUCUGGACUCUGCACAUCACCGCCCCCGCUUCCAGCUCCAUCGCACCGCCGUGCCGACCCUACAGCUGCGCGUCGCCGUACGCCCAUCCUGAAACCCUGCGGCACGCCCUCACCCAACCCAGCUGCAGAGCCCCUCAGUAAGCAUGCAGCGACCUAAGCUCACCUGUCCUUCUUGUCCAGGCCGUAGGCAAUGGCGGCGGCGGUGGGCUCGUUGAUGAUGCGCAGCACCUCCAGGCCGGCAAUCAUACCGGCAUCCUUGGUGGCCUGAAAGCACAGGAGAACAGGGAACAGGGAGCGAUGGCGUCAGCACGCGGGUCAACCGGUUAAGCCGAGUAACAAACACGCUGAGUGGUGGACAGAGAUGUCAAGAGCGGGAGGGUGCGCGAAGGUUCUGGCGAGUGGCAACCCCAAAGGCCGCGGUGGCACCCCAAGCCCCCCGGUGCCGCGUGCCGUGCGUACCUGGCGCUGGGAGUCGUUGAAGUAGGCGGGCACGGUCACCACGGCCUUCUUGACCUCGCGGUCAGCGCCCAGGAAAGCCUGAGCGGUCUCCUUCAUCUUGAUAAGCACCAUCGAGGAGAUCUCCUCAGCCUUGAAGACCUUCUCCUCGUUCUUGUAGGAGACUGCGAGCGCAAAGAGAUAGGUUGUGAGCAACUAAUUUCGCACACAGCACGGACCGCUUUGCGAGCUGAACUUACCAACGAUCUCGGGCACAUCGUGCGCGCCGGCGCGAACCUGGAAAGGCCACAGCUUAAUGUCCGCCUGGACAAUGGGGUCCGAGAACUUGCGGCCAAUCAGGCGCUUGGCGUCGAACACCGUGUGGCGCGGGUUCAUAGCGACCUGUGGAAGGCAGGUCGGCGAAGGCGGGUAAGUGGCUGCGCGCGCUGAAGUCGGCCCGCCCAAUUCGCAACGUACCUGGUUCUUGGCGGCAUCACCAAUCAGACGCUCAGUGUCCGUGAAGGCCACGUACGAGGGAGUGGUGCGGUUGCCCUGAUCGUUGGCAAUAAUCUCCACGCGGUCAUUCUGCCAGACACCCACGCAGCUGCGAGCAUUGAAGCACGCCAAGGGUCAGCUGGUGUCCAAGAGACGUUGAAGGUGCAGAGGGAGCUCACCUGUACGUGGUGCCCAGGUCAAUACCGAUAGCGGGGGCCUCCUUGCCCAUGUUUACUGACUCUUAAGCGAGUUGAGUGGUUAUGUAUAGCGGCAGAAUAGUCGCGUAUGUAUAAGUGCUCGUUUGUCGCUGAAAGUGGAGGUCACCGUUCGGGGUCGCGGGCUUUUAUACCGGAUGGGUGCCGCCAGCGGGCCGUAUGGCGCCUUCUGGACGCCGCGCGCCCCAUCGCGGCCCUUCCAGAGCUUCCCCCGCCCUCAUAGCCCGCCAAAUCAGUCCUGUAGCUUCAUACAAACAUACGCACCAAUCAUGUCAAGCCUCAGCGAGCUCCCCGCCGUCACGCAGACAUAUGUAAUUUGCGAUCUCCAAUCGCGCGCACGCCAGACCCGCUGUCCCCGGCAGAUCGCUCCAAUGAAUAGCUCAAGUGCAUUAAUCUACGGUUCUGGUUUCGCCUGGCGCAACGGCGGCUCGGGCUCGUUUGGCGCCCUCAAGUCGGUUCUCGAACCGUCGCGGCCCUUCGCGUGACGUGUGCCCUGCGGAGCUGCCGGCCGGGGCAAGCGGCCACCGCGCUGAGAACUCCACCUUCCCGAGGUCGGCGGUGUUGCAAGGGGCUGUAGCAGGAGCAAUGCACGGUGAGGCGCGUAAUGCCUUCGCGUAGGGUGGGGUUGGCAAUUGGCACGCGGCUGGGAGCACCCGGCCUGUCACGCCCACGUCACUGCACUGGGAGCCGGCCUGGUUGGCUUAGGAAAGCCAUCAGACCGCAUGAGACCAUGUGUGUGUUGAAUGUCGGGCUGGUCUGGUCUGGUCUGGUGUGUGACGCCCCGCCGGCAGCAUGUGCGGCUUUGCGGGGAGGGGGCUGUUUGGAGGUGGCCAAAGCGGCGGCGAUAUGGCUGUCGACUGGAAGCCUUCUAUGAGCUUUGGGUGAGCUUUUGAAGGGCUUUGACGGGCUGGUUUGGUGUGAGGCGGGGUGAAACCUCGGGCGUUGGGUGCGAUGGCGUGUGGUUCAGCCUCUGCGGCGCCUACACACUGCAGCACUUGCACUGCCGUGCCUCGAUGCAUGAUGUGGGCAGGCGCUGGGCCGCUGCCCUGGCGCACCACCCACACUCGAGUGCUGACGUGCCGACGUGCCGCCUUGUGGCGCAGCUGCGGGGUCGGCUGCCGGUUGGGUUACGGGAGGGCCUGCGAUCCGGGGCGUCGCCACUGGUGUUCCGUUCGUGUGUUGCAAGGGCCGUGGGGGUUCAGCGUGUGUAUGCGGGACCCCGGAGCUGCCCCUUCACAGGCUCCCGGAUGCCUCGCCAGAUCCACAGCUUCGCAUGCACCAAAACCUUUGCAAGCCGGGGCUUGUCAGCCCCACCAUUGCUCGAAGAAUGGCCUCAGGGUUUUGGGGGGGGGGGGGGGUUGGGGCUAUAUGGCGCGCCACGAGCACACGGAGCAGCUGGGUAGGGGCGCCGCGUUGAGAAGGUGGGGAGCGGGAAAGCUGGCACGUGGGGCCGAGGGCUACGCGCCCCACUAGCGCUGCGGGGGGUGGGUUGGGGGGGGGUGAAGGGGCUCGUCCGUGUCACGCAGCAAGAGACACAGCACGCACGCGAGAAUUGUGGGCGCUGGAGGAGGGGGGUCACUCAGCUUCGGGGGCAGGCACGGCACGUUAGCUCGCGCUGCUGCGGGCAUGCCCGGGCGACACUCGCGCAGCCCGCUCCCUGUCGAUAUUGCAGCAACUGGGCCCCACAGCAGAGCACCGGGUCCUGCCGGGCCCGCACCGCCCUCCACGGCCACACAUUCCCGCAGGCAGAUGCUCAGGUGGGGCCCCGUGGGUCUCUCCUCCUCCCGGUCUCUCCUGUCACCGCCUUCUACUUCCUCGCCAUCAUCACCCUUUCGCGUUUAUUUUACCCUGCAAGAACGUCUUAAAAGCGUUAGAAGCUCUAUCGACAGGUGUAUAAGCUCUCCCGAAGCCAGUUCUGGGCUUUGCUCUCGCGCGGCCCCUUAGCACUGCCCGAUUGCUCCGAAAGCUCUCAGGUCAGAACGCAGCGCCUUAAGCAGUAGCUGCAAGCAGCCAUAGGCGCAACAGCCGCAACCACACAAGCCCCGCGACAGCGGACAGCUGCGACUCUGCAGCAGAGCCGGGUCCACAUGCCGACCCUGGGCGUCAGUAGCAGCGCCGCGGCGGGCCGCCCCGGCGGCGGCGGCGGCAGUGGCGGCGGCGGCGGCAGCAGCGGCCCGGGACUGGGGGGCCCGCCGUCGCUGCGGCAGUAUCACUCGCCGCUGCGGCGCUGGGUGUGGGCGGCGGUGUGCGCCAACCUGGCCUGGGCGGGCGUGUUCGCGGGGCUGUGUGCCGCGUCCUACAAGGUGGAGACAGGGGAGGGGAGGGGAGGCGUGGGCCAGGCAGGGGAAGUGGAGACAGGGGAAAGGAGGGGAUGGGGGUGUGUGGAGGAUGGAGGUUGGCAGGCGGGGGGCGGUCCGCAAUGCGGGACAGGGCAUCAGCCGUGUGCAACGCGUUAGCUGCGUCGUGGGUGUUUGGGCGCGUGUGCGGGCGUAAGUGCGGCAUGCAGGCCCGCUGAUGUGAGCGUGUUGUACUGUACGGUAAGUGCCAGGAAAGCACAAGGGGAAUGAACGGUAUGUGGGAUACAGAACGAUUGUGCGCCUGCGCAUGUGUACCGUGUGUACCAUACGUGUUCAGGGCUUCAAUGCAGCUGUGAGUCAGCUGGCGGCGGUGAAGGACGCAAGUGACCGCGCGGCGGCGGCGGGCGGUGACGAGGCGGCGGCGGCGGCGGAGCAGGCUUCGGGACUGCCUCCCGGGACCAAGGCCAGCGACUGGUGGGUCGUGUGCGUGCGUGCGUGUUUUCGGAGUUGUGAGCGCACAAGGGGGAAGGGCCGCGUGAGUGUGUGUCUGUGUGUGUCAUGUAUAAGAGCUUGGUGGUGCGGGAGCGAUGGCAAGGGACACACUGACCACGUCAUGCUGGCUAUACGUCCACGUCACACUGCCGAUCCCUCAUCCACCUGCAACAACACAACAAUACAACAACGCAACAACGCGGCAACACAACCGCAGGCAGGCGCUGUUUGCCGCGGCGGCGGUCAGCGCGGCCUUUGCGGUGGCGCUGACCAUCCUGUUCCAUGUGCGUGCGUGCGUCCUGGGGAAGGCGCCGUGCAGCUGCCGUGUGUGUGGGAGGGCGGUGGCGUGUUAGUCAGAGAGGGGACUAUAUGCCUGAGACCAACGAGUGUGUGUGUGAGGGGGGGCGGGGGGUUGUAAUAACCAGCCCAAACUAAACCGAACCAGGCCAAACUAGUGGUUCUAUGUGUAUGUGCCCGGGCCCAAUGAAACAGUCCCAUCAUGGGGGUUGGAAGGGGAGAUAAUGGCCACCAUGGUGUGUCUGACAGGGUACGCAUGCUCCGCCUGCCACCGCCGACUGGUGGUGCCGCUGACGGGUGGUGCGCUAACACCUGGUUACCCGGGCUCUUCCCUCCCCUCCCCGCAGGCCUGUGCGUUAGCUCUGCUGCUGUGCUCCUUCAAAAGCCUAGCUGACCCGCACCGCCGCUUCGGCCGCGGCUUUGUGGCGGCGGCGGCGGCGUGUGUGGGGCUGCACACACUCAACAUAGCGCUGCAGGUGAGGAGGGGCCGGGCGGGUGGGCUGUGAACGGGGGAGUUGCCGAGUGGGCAGGUGGGUGUGUGGGCUGUGGCCUGUGGGCUUCGAUCCGGCAAGGCUGGCAAAGGCUUCCCCUCCCCCCCCCCCGCAGUUCCAAGGCUACGGCCCCACACUGGCCACGUGGCGGCACCGCCUGUCCGCCGCCGCCGCCGCCGCCGCCUCCUCCGGCUCCCCCUCCUCCUCCGCCGCCUUCAACCCGGCGCUGCUGACCGCCACGCUGGCCUUCGGCUGGCUGUCGUUCCUCAACUACUCCGCCCUGGCCGUGCUGCUGUUCUUCUGUGAGUCACGCCGCGAUACCUGUGUGGGGGUGUGGGUGCGAAGGGGUGCAAUGGGGUGCAACUGUCGGGGGGGGGGGGGUGUAGGUGCCAGCCCAAACUAAGCCAAACCCAAUGCAAAAGAGCGAGGAGGAGAGCGGGGGUGGGCACAUUGAGCUGGGCUGGGCUGACGGGGCGGCAUGGCGAGGGGUGCGGUUGUGAUGUGAAGCGGUGCGUGUCGGCCGGUCGGCCCGAGGUGCCGGCCCAACCUGUGCCGUCCCUGUGUCAGCCCCGCCGGCCGGGUGGUCAAUGCUCUGCCUCUGUGCCCCCGCAAGUGGCGAAUCCGUGUGUCAGGGGCGACUGGGAGAGCUGGGGAAACCCAUGUUGAUCCAGGUGUGCCUGACGUGUGUGCUUUUGUGUGUUCGUGCCACACGCGCCCCUCUGCUCUUGCUUGUCCUAGAUCACAACAACACGCGCCCCUCCGCAGGGAACGACCCGGUGGAUGUGUACCUGUUGGACCGCUCCCCCGCCGGCGCGCUGUAGCAGCACUUCGGGAAAGAGGGAAAGGCAGUAGCAGGCAGCAGCGCGGGCAACUGGAGAGGCCACCGCCACCGACAGUUGCGGUGUUGCACUCAUGAUGCGUGGGUUGUGACACCUGCGGCCUGCUGCGGCUGGCGGCGACCAGCGUUUGGCACGUGCAUUACAGAAGACGGGGACACAAGGGAAGGAAGGUGUCGACCCCGUGCAUGCAACUGCGCGUGGGGGACGGUGGGGUGACGUGGGAGACGGGAGCCGGCUGAAGGGGUGAGACGACGACGUUUGAUGACAGUGCUAGUGGCCUAGUGCUGGACUAUGGGAGGCAUGUACAACACCUGAUACUGGGGUUGACUAUGGGCACACCAACAAGCCGACAUGGUGACGGAGGCCAGCGGCCGCCGACGCAAGGGUUGGGUAUGGGGCGUGUGCCAUGCGGGUUGCGGAGGUGGUGGCGGCGGCCGUCUGCGAUGUAGGGUGUUCCACUGCAUGUACGGACAAAGGCUGCGGGUACGGACACAGACACGGCGGUAAACCGGCAUGGCGUUGAGGCACAGUGGCUCCCCGGCGACCGAAUCUCAAAUAUAACGAAGUGCGUGUUAGACGUUGAAACUGACCCGACGUGCUGUGCGCAACAUCCCAGCAUUCCGACAUCUGUGGGUUUGGCACGCGUGUCAUGGCAGCGUACUAGCCCUUGCGCCCCGGGAGUUGGCUGUGCCCAUCACUCCCGCCUCAGGGACACCCCGCACGCCGUGCACGCGCGCAUACGGCACACCGGCACUCGGCUCAGAACACCCCACACUGACAAGGCAUGCGACGCUCGAUGAAUCGCGGCAGUUGGCAAGCUCGUCGCCCCCUGCAAUUUCAAUGCAAGCAACUGUCUCGCCAAGGGAUCGGGGCUGCUGCCGCAGCGCAUGCCGCAUUCGGGCUGCGCUGGCAGGCUUGCUGGCAGGUCCACUACCUUUCCUUUUGCACUAACUCAUAUACUUGUACAUCAGGCUCAGGCUUCUUGCUUGUCAAGUCGCAUCACAAGCAUGGAUGUACGACAUCAUCGUGUGCAAGGCAGCGUGAUGAGUAAGGCAGCAAGCGUCAUCCGCCAACAGCACCUGUAGCAGCGGUACCGUGCUCCGAGCCUCUGAGCCUCUGAGCCCCAUCACGCACCGCCGGCGGAGGGAGCGCACCGCCGGCGGCCAGGCACACCUUUGCAAACACCCAGCAGCAUUGCAUCAGCGGCCCCUCAGUGACAGCGCCACCGCAGCCCACGUACCACCCGGCGUCACCACCCUUAAUUCGGGAGCGCAUGUGCCUACCUGCCAUCCUGCGCCCUUUCCCACAUCUGGACCUCGCACACCCAAAUCAUCACCGCUUCCUAAACUCCUUGGCACCGACAGCCCACUGAUCUGACGCCGCUGCAGAGCUGCCACGCACAACCAAAGCCUCCCGCUGUCCUACUGCAGUGGCGCCAAUUGCAUGCAGCAGUCCCAGCCAGCAGCUGCGCUCCCUCGCUCACUCUCCUCGGAGUGGCAGGGCGGCACCUGCCUCCAUGAAUUCCUGCGGCGGAGCUGGGCGUCAGGGCAGGGCUCCUAUCUUAAUGUCUCCAGACAUUAAUUGGCCAUUUUGGCCGUUUCCUAGACAUUCCUCCCGGGGGCUAAUGUCUGGGGCGAGACUUUGUUGGCCCGGGUUUGGGGCGGGUUUUGUCCGAAGUCCUAUGGAGAAGCCCCCAAACCGCCAUGUGCCCAGACAAAAGACGGCGGCCACCCGGCCGUUUUUGUCUGGAGCUAGACAUUAGCCCGAAAACAAGAUACGACCCCUGCGUCAGGGCCUCAGGGGAUCGUAAGUGCAGAGCCCUCGGCAGCAUGCCCUUGCCGCAGCCCUCUCGUGCCCCUGGCAUAGAUAUCCCACACAAGAAGGAUCAGCACCAAACCUCACAGGCAGUCAAAGCACCAAACCAUUGCCCCUCGCGGCCCUCCCGCACACUACUCCCAGCUCCCCACGCCGUACACCCAGGCAGGUAUCUGCCCCGCCCCCGGCCCCGCCUCCUGACCGGGAAGCGAGCCCGGCCUGCACCCCUCGCGUCACCCGGGUGUGCCAUCCAGCUCCCGCCUCCCACCUCCCACCUCCAUGAAUUCCCGGCGCGGCUGCGGCGUCCUGCCCAUGCAUGCGCAUUCCGCAGCUGCCGCACAACCCGGUGGCGGCGGGCGUAGCUUCCACUGCCUCUCAAGGCAAACCUGUGCUGGGCAGUGGCGCGGGCUGCAGCAUGCAAAGCACAUCUGGGGGGGGGCUGCGCACGCCAGGCUGUCCACGCCAUGCCUUCCUGCCCGCCCCCAGACACGCAGCCCACCCCUACAUACGGCCCUACCUCGCAUGCAACCCGCCGGCUGGGCCACGGCAACGCGGGACUAUGCCUCGUACCACCCUCUGCUUUCCCUUGUACUUGGAGUUCAAGGACAACGUGCAAGGCCACCCCCCAACGCAUGUAUGUGUCCCUCCCAACACCAACUCCCGGGUUGCGCACCUGGCCGUUGUGUGCAAACGAGAUACCGGCUCACGCGUACACCGCUAUGCACUGCCCGUGGGACGCGGCUCAGGCGCUCAGCUCCAGCUCCAAAGGCACUCAGCUCCAGCUGACCAGCUCCAAAGACAGGCGCGCACACGUUUGCAGUGAAUGGCAGUCACCUGUGCAGGGGCAAACGCACACAGGCACAAGCACCAGCACCAUGCAGCUGCUAGCACGGAGUCGCUUGCCGCCCCUCAUCAUAAGGCCCAGAGUACAAGUAUGCCAUCAAGCCCUGUGCCACCCACCUGAUUUCCCAACGCCACAGUGCCAGAAAAUCCACUGCUGCGCGGUGGUGUAUUGCCGUGUAGGCGUCCAUGGCUAAAGAGAAAAGAGGUGCACUGGCUUACUUUGCGUCGUGAUCAGUUACAACUGUCAGGCGUCCGCAGGGGCGCGCCGUUGCUCACUGUCAAUUCCCGGUGUGGCGAGUUGCGCACACAAUCUCGGGUUAUUCAUUUGGGUCACAUAUUGAAGCUCCACAAACCGACUCUCCUAUGUAGUUGCGAACCAAGAGUCACGUUCCUAGCCUACUCAAAGCCUCUGCCAUAGACGAAGGGCAUCACGUACGGCUCUCUUCAAUCUUACGACAGCCCACGAUGUCACCGCCGUGCUAGCAGCAUUUCAUAAAUCGCCAGAUUGAUGUCUUCAUAUACAAAGCUACCAGUCAAGCAGCAGUCACAAGCGUUUGUCAAGUAAAUCGUCGUCUUGGUCAACCGUGUGUGUGUGCGUGUGGUGACAUCGAAGUCACAAGAGUCAUGCCAUGUGGGUCAGCCGUCAUUCAAGUCAGCGUCAAGCUUCAGACCCCCGCAACCAAGGGGGUCACUCCUGCUACGCGGGGUCGCGCGGCGUCGUGCGCACUGCAACUCACGCCAAGGGGCGCCCAUGCCCUCUCGCAAAGUCCCCGCAAAAAAUUGGGCAAGAUGAAUUCUACACUUUAUAGGAGUCAACAGUCUUCCGCGCCCAAUCACGCGCUCAAUGCCACUGCCUGCGCAUCAGGGCUAAGCCUCUGCAGCUCAUCACAUGCUGCGCUGCGACCAAUCCUAAUGGCAUCGCUUUACUGAGGGCUGUUGGGCAUCCAGUUCUGGAACACGCCGACCUUGUGGUUGCGGAUGCGGGCAUCGAAGAACUGCUUAAACGAGUUGUCGUAGCGCUGGGCCGCGGCGGCGCUCUUCUGCUCGUCUUCGUAGUAGGCGAUGCUGGAGGUCUGCAAGGCGGAUGCGGAGGGGAGGGGAGAGGGGAGUGGGAGUCAGGACGGGGAAGGAAGGAGGCGGGGAGGCCGGGGCGGGGAGACGCGUCGUUCAAGGGCCGCACAGCUAGGGCUUCCGGAAAUUGCUGGCACUGGCAAGCGACCGCACAACACCUAUCAGUCUAUCAGUCCAAAUGCGUGAUGGCUGGCAAGGCUGUGUUGACGUGUACACUUGAGCUCGAAACGGAAUUGUGCGGAAAAAGGUUCCCGACGACACAAUUGUGGCUAGCCGGUCGGCUCACCUCGGGGUCAGCGGUGGGCACACGGCAGCACAUCGCGACGAAGGCAGCGCUGGCGUAGGUGAUGGGCAGCAUCAGGAUGUAGGCCUGCGGGAUUAAGGCACAAGCGGGGUGUCAGCGCGACCAGCAUGCGGAAUGUGCUGGCGUUGGCAAAAAGCGAGUGACGACCGCGACAGCACGUAAGGCAGCGCUGCGUGGUGGAAUCAGAACGACUCACAUCCAGGGGCAGCUUGAAGGGCAGAGGCAUUCUUGAGCGGCGACGAAGGAAAGGACUCGCGGCGCGAGAGGAAGGACUAGUAUUAGUAGUGGGCGAAGGGAGCAGCGAGUAUUCAGUGUGCUUGUGUGGAGCUGAAUUGCUAUACACCAAAGGGCUGGCCGGCGCGGCUUAAAUAGCGUCGCGAGCACCCCUCGCCAUUCCGCGCCCAUUCCGUCCUUCGGUCGUCCGGGACCGCCCCCGUCCUUCGGUACCGGCGCGGCUUGCAGACCGCGCCCAAGAGCCCCGCUGAAUUUUGGAUAAGUGAAACCAGAAUAUCAUUAUAGAUUGGGUACAAGCUCCGGCACUGAGCGAGCCCAACGAGUUCGACUUAAACGUCUCGUAAGCCUGUCACAGCUUGCGCGGGUUUGCAAGCAUACGAAUAGGUUUCGAUAACGUGUAUCUUUCGGACACAACGAAAGUAGACAGACAGACACACAAGAAAAGUUGACACAUCACUCCUUUGUACCGCCCGUUGGGCCAGAAGCUUGGGGCGGGUCCAUUCUUGCUUCCGGCGCUUGCGCGCUGGCGCGCGCCGAUACGAGUCUGGGCUAUAUGUGCCGAAAACUAUCAUUAGAGCGCAACGUAAUGCACGCAGUGGUGUCGCGGGGUGUCCAAGGGUCGCCCUGGAACGAUGCCAAACGCGCCAGCCCGGACACGUCCCGUUUUGGAGGCCCAAGGCGCCGCGCAUUGUCACAGGGCUGAUCCUUAGCUCGUCCCGGGACGGUUACUCAGGCCGCGGGGAUGGUAUUCCGGCCGCGCAGCUGCGAUUUCAGUAUGGGCUUUCCAUUGUUGCCACUUCACACCAAAAGGCAGUCGAAGGGGCCUACCAAGGCGGGCUUAACGGCCCAGGGUUGACAUAGGAGUGCAUAAGAAGCCUUGAUGCGGAGGAGUCAAAGGGAGCUCAUGGCCGCGGCGAAGGACAUUUCGUCCCCGUCAAAACGGCCUCAUGCUGGGGUGGAAUUUCGCUGUGGCCACAGCUGCUCUUGUUGCCACAUUUUGCUUUGCUCUUUGUACUCGAGGCAUUCGUUCCCGCCUCGACUCGACACAAGUCUCUACUGCCGCAGCUUAGCGGCUGCCAUGGCGCUCCAGCGCCAGCAACCUGUACCAUCACCUCUCAUUUUGAUGCUCUCCACGUGCUCACGCGCCAACCAGACCGUAAAACACGUGAACACGGUGAACUGAACCUCACUGCUCUAAGGCUCGCAUUACCGCAACUAGUAUGCCUGCCGGCACCAUUCCAAGUCGUAACGCUAUCCGGGAUGUUGCACACUAACACGGCCCCCUUCCCAUUCUACCCGCCGCUCCCUGCCGUUCCCUCGCUGCUUCCGCACACCACACUCCAAGCCCUCCUUGCCCUUCUGCCGCCUUUCCCUUCAUCAAAAGAAACAACUCAAGCCCUCAACCCAAAUCUUACUGCACAUUACUCUCAGAAACCAAUGCGAUAUCACCACCUGCGUCAAAUUCACGAAUUUCACUUUCGCCACUGUGCCUCAUCGCUCAUCACCAAUGUGCAUCCUCAUACACACACGCGCACACGCUCACACUUGCACACGCACCAAACAAGAAGCGAGGCGCGCCCCGCCCCAGCCCAACCCUGUCCGGCUGCCCUGGGACCCACACGCAGGGCUGGAGGCCCGCCAGUAUGGGCCGCGGCGGCGGCGCCGCCGCCGCCCCAGCCCCCCGCCUGAGCCGCACCCGCUCACUUCUUCUUCUUGGCCUCAGCUCCCGAAUGGAAGGCCUGUAGGGCAGAGAGCAAAAUCCAAACGCAAGUGCAGUGAGGACGGCUGGCACGCCACACCGGCACGGUCACUAUGGGCCGGGGCGGCUGCAAGCGCGCUAGUCCCUCAGCCCUGAAGGCGGCCGCCACCCUCCCAUCCAAGCCCGCCAGCCCUCCCUGCCGCCCAUCGACUCCCGGUGCCCCCAGCCCGCAGACCCCGCAGUCGGUGGUCCGUUUGCGGUUCUGGGUAUCAAACAUGAUUUGGCAUUGGUUUCAACUACCACCGCCGCCUCGUUUUGAGCUGGGAUUGGACUUCACUAAACCCCCAACCCCGCAGCUCCCCGCCUCACCUUGGCCUUCUCCUUCUUGAGCCGCUCCUUCUCGGCCUUAGUCAUCUGGGCAGGGCCGGGCCGGGCAGGGAAAGCAUAAGGACAGCUCAGACGCAUCCAGCAAAGAGGUACAGCUGUUGACGUGCGUUGCGGAACUAAUGCGGAGCUGAUGGCGACAGUGCGUGUGCGGUGGCACACACCCAGCGCCGCGACCACGCCCGCCUCAUCCGGCCGUGCAUUGUCCACACCGCCAGACACACGCACAAUCACACAGCAUCUCCCCCACGUGACACGCACCUUGGACUUGGCCUUUAUGUUGUCCUUCUCGAUCUCCUUGACCUUGGCCUCCUUCUCCUCCAUCUUGGCCGCCUCAUCCCUGCACGGCAUGAUGACAUGGGACGCGUCAGCGGCGGCGGCGGCGGUGCUGACAUCACAGCUACACAUCAGCAGGCACACACGCUGUCGCCUAAGCCCGGUAGAGCCCCGAACGCAGUGCAAACCAACAGCGCGCGGUCAGAGGUCAGCCCGGUUGGCUCUCUGCCACGCAGCUGCACUCGUUGGCACAAAAGGCGCUGUGCAAUAACCAAAUCUUAUAGUAAAUUGUAAAUUUAAACAUUACGCAAAAUACUAUAAACUCACUCGUUCUUGGACAGGUAGUAGUCGUAGUCGCCCUGGUAGUCCUGCAGCUUCUGGCCCUCCACCAGCAGCACGCGAGUGGCGAUCUGGGUCGAGGCGGUUCGAGGUGGUGGUUAUGGUUGUGGUUGUGGUUAAGGGUGCGGUUGUGGAAGAAGGGGAGAGAAGUGCAGCGGCAGCGGCAGGGGCAGGGCCUCAGGCGACAGGGGCACGGGGCAACGGUGUGGUGAAGGGGCGCGCGGCUGGUGAGGGGCCGGUGGCGUGAGGCACGUGCCGAGCCCCGGAAGCCCACUCGCUCCCCACACGACACACCCGCACGCGUGUGUGUGUGCGCCCACGACCGCCACAUCCACCACGCACGAAUCAACCGCCCUGACCGCCAACCGUCCCAACCGUCCCAACCGCCAGGUCCGCCCCUCCUCACCUGCCGCAGGAAGUAGCGGUCGUGGCUGACGGCGAUGACGGCGCCCUGGAAGGCGCGGAUGGCCUCCUCCAGCGUCUCCUUGCUGGGGAUGUCCAGGUGGUUGGUGGGCUCGUCCAGGACCAGCAGCGUGCCCUGCGGUACGGCAGUUAGUUGGUUACGGUAGUUGAGAAGUGCCCGCGUGCAUUAGUAAGGAUAGAGGCACAGGGGUGACGUGUGUGUAAGUGUGCGGGUAGGGGGGAAGCGCAAGGACGGCGAGGGAGGGCGCAACACGGUGAUUGUGACAGCGAUGGUGCACGUGUCGGCGGUUGCCCCAGAAGUCAGCGGUACUCCGUCGGUCCGCCGCCGCUCCGUCAAGCUGCUGCUGCUGCUCGCCUGCCCCGGCCCCACCCGUCCAACCUCCCACACACACAUGCAAACACACACACACACACACACACACACACACACACACACACACACACACACACACACACACACACACACACACACACACACACACACAUGCAAACACACACACACACACACGCACACACCUGUGUGCACAUGAACUUGGCGAGCGCCAGACGCGCCUUCUCGCCGCCACUCAGCACCUUGACCUGUGUGCCAUAGUGAGAGAGUGCUUUGUGAAUGUGGGCAAAGAAGCUGGCGAAGGGGACGAGGAGUGUCAGGGGUGCGGACAAGUCAUAGUGCUCCUCAAGGCCAUUCGCCGCACAAAAACACGCCUCUAUCUACUACUCCACUAGCCAGCUGCCUCGUCCCCAAUCCCUGAGCUCGCGCGAUCUCUAUUGAUAUCGCUACCUCUCCCACGCUACCCACGCUUACAUUCCCUCAUGGUAAUCUGUCAAACUAACCUUUUUAUCCAUGGCGUUGCCGCUGAACAGCAUGCGGCCCAAAAGCGACUUGAGGUCGUUCAGCUUGGCGUCAGGCGAGGACUGUGGGGGAAGGGGGAGAGGCAGUGGGAGAGAGGGGUGGUGGAUGGCAAAGGAUGGAACGGUGAAGGGGGGAAACAAACACACAGCGCGUGGGCAAGCCUACCGAGGGCAGGUGGGAUGCGUGACUGCUAUCGCCUAGAAGGCACAACCGCGCAAGCACGCACGCAGCUGCGGGCACCACGGACACCCGCAUCCUCUUCUUCGUGUCUCAGGUCUCUUUACUGGGGCUGGCAAAACAAUCCCAUCCCUCAUCCCAUCGACACGCCACGCCAUGCCCCCCGCCCAUGCCCCCUCCCCCCUUACCUUGACCAGUGUCUCCAGCACCGUCAGCUCCAGGUCCAGCGCCUCCGCCUGGUUCUGCUCAAAGUAGUUGGGCUCGAUGUUGUGCUCGCCCAGGCGCACCGUGCCCUGCGCGUGUGUGUGUGAGUGUAUGUGUGUGUGGGGGGGGGGUUGCACUCAUGAGUGUCUAACAUGUGAAUGCGUAGGGGGAGAGGCGGCAGCGAAUGGGGUUUUGGGAGCAGGAUAUGAGGUGGUGGGGUUUGGGAUGAUGUGUGAGUUGUCCGUGGAACACCGUAACGGGUUUUGGUAACGGGUUUUGCUUUGUCCGUUGCAUCGUACGCGUGCAGCAUGCAUCGCACUGCCACGCCCCCCUAGCACAACGCCGCACCACCCGCGCACCUGCUGCGGCGCCUCGCGGCCCAUGAUGAGCCGGAGCAGCGUGGACUUGCCUGCGAGGGGAGUGGGUGGAUGUGUGGGUGUGUGGUGGCGACACGAGAAGUCAAGGACGAGAUGGAGGGCGAGAGAGUUAGACAGGAUGGCGGGUGGCGGUCGGCAUGCUAUCGUGGGUUACCGUACGUCUCUUACAUGGCUCAGCAAGCCGGCACAAAAAUUCGCCUCCUGUCCUCAACUGUCUACAUCCCCUCAACAAUACUUGCUUUUAAACACAUAUCUCAGCAGCAGUUAUCGUUUUUAUCAAACUCUCACCCGCUCCGUUGGGUCCGAUGAUGGCCACCCUGUCGCCCUUGGCGAUCUCCAGGUUAGCGUUCUUGAACAGCGGCCGGCCCGGGUAGGCGUGUGUCAGGCCCUCAAUGGACAGAACCUGCAGUGGGGGUUACAUUACAUUUCAUCAUUGGCUAUGGCGAGCGGGGGAAAGAGGCACAGUGGGGGUGCGGGGGAUUACAUCACCAGAUGGGGCGCAGGGUGGCGGCGGCGGGGUGGUACAGGGCUCCAUGGCACGGGUUUACGGGCGAGCCCCACGAAUAGCUCCCACGGCAGUGGUGGGCCGCAGCGGGUGGCGAGGCGUCAGGAAGCGGCGGCGGUGAGAGGGAGCCCGCCGUUGCGGCACCAUGCCAUGCGCCUCCCCGUUGUUUCGGUUCGUCAGGACCAUAUUGGAAGUUUGGCACUCCCGGGAACACCAGCCCUGCCCCCCGCCGGCCCUAGGGCCACACACGCCGCCGGCCCAGCCCACACCUUCUGCCCCAUCUUCUCCACGGGCGGGAAGGUGAAGGCUUUGCGCUUGGGCACGAAGGGCUUCUCGAUCAGCCCCUCCGCCUUGAUGCGCUCAAGAGUCUUCUCGGCCUGUGGGUGUGGGUAUUUGUUGUGAUGCCGAGUGCUCAGUACUACAGCUACAGCUCGUGUCGCUUGGAAAUCGUACGCUUGGGAGCCCCCCCCGCCUUGUAUUACAUGCCGCGGGUGACCGGCUUUGGCAUCGGCAUCGGCAUCGGCACGCGGGGGGGCCGUGUCCGCCCCGGCCUCCCCCACCUCCUUCCACCCCAGCUCCCACCUGCCACCCCACAUUCCUCCCCGCCCCAUUUCGUUGGGCUCGGGCACCCCCAACGCCGUCCCCCCCCCCCGCUGUACCGCUUUUCCAACCACCUUUGCAACCCCCGCCCACUCCCCCCCAUCCCAUUGCCCUGGGUUCGGUUAGUUUGGGCUGGUAUCUACGACCCCCCCCCCCCCCCCACACACACACACACACGCCCACCUGGCUGGCUCUGCCGCUCUGCGCGCCCCCUGCCAGUCGCUGCAUGAUCUCCUCCUGCUUGGCGAUCUCCUUCUGCUGCUUCUCCCACGCCGCCCACUGCAGAGCCGUCUUCUCGUUCUGCAGGGCGGAGGACGGGGGAGGGGGUUGGGGAGGUGUUGGGGAGGUGUGGGGAGGUGUUGGGGAGGUGUUGGGGAGCCGGGGUAGGUCGGGCAGCGGGCUGGGAAGAGGUAAGGCGGUUGCAGGGCCGCCGACCGCUUCAUGGCGGGCCGUUUGUGCAGCCCGAACCACUGUCUCUUCGCUUCCUCCAGGCGUCCUGCCUCGCCUGCUCCUGCCCCCCUCCCCCCCUCCCUUCCCCCUUCCCCCCUCCUCCCCCUCCCUCCCUUUCCAUCUCCCCCUCCCCCUCCCCCUCCCUGCCCUCCCUCCCUCACCUUGCUGUUGACGUACUGCGUGUAGUUGCCUGGGUAGGUUGUGGCCACGCCGCGCUCCGUCUCCACGAUCUUGGUGCACAGCUGGUCCAGGAACUCGCGGUCGUGGGACACAAUCACCAUGGGCACCUUCGGGGGAGGGGGUGGUUGCGAGGGGAGGGGCGGAGGGGAGGGGGAAGAAGAGAGUUACACUCGGGGGGUGGCACUGAUGACACGGUACACUCAUGGUACACAUGCCCAUGAGCCCAUGAUUCCCCGCUUGCCCUCCCACGCCUCCUCCCUCCUGCCUCCCACCUCGGCCCGCCUCCUCCAGCUCUCCUGCCUCCCAGCUCGUCGGCCCCGCCCCCUUCCCUCCUGACCCUCCUCCCUCCCUCCCCCCACCUCCCCCAACCUCUCCCUCCCUCACCUCCUGUUUGCGCAGGUAGCCCCCCUCCCCACCUCCUCUCCUCCCUCACCUCCUGUUUGCGCAGGUAGCCCUCCCUCCCUCCCCUCACCUCCUGUUUGCGCAGGUAGCCCUCCAGCCACUGGAUGGCGUCCAGGUCCAGGUGGUUGGUGGGCUCGUCCAGCAGCAGCAGGUCGGGGUCCUAGGGGGGAUGAGGGAGGGGGGGUUUGGAAAGAUUGGUACAGAGAAGUGUAGCGAAGUAGGGGGAGGAGGGGGGUUGCAAAGAUGGAUGGACCAGCGGCGGGAGGUUAGGCAGCGUGGGACAUACCGCACCACACGUCCACAGGAGCGGUGUUGUUUUGAAGGGAGCGGUGUGCCUUUCUUUUUCCGCCCUUUCAUCCGGCAUCCCACGACGCCUCCACCCACCCACCCCCCUCCCACCCCCCACCUGCAGCAGCAGCUUGCCCAGGCACAUGCGCAUCUGCCAGCCUCCGCUGAAGCUGGCCACCAGCCGGUCGUUGUCCUCCUGCUUGAAGCCCAGCUCCGGCAUCAUCUGGUCAAUCUUCUUGUCCAGCAGGUCCACGUCCAGGUCCACCACCUGGCGGCGGUUGAACGGGGAGGGGGGUGAAAGGGGGGAGAGGAGUUGUGUUGGGGUUAUGUGUUUACUUUUGUGGUGCAUCCGCAUCUGCGCCCCCUCUCAUCUUGACACCUCCUCCCACUGUACCCGCACCCGCACCCACACCCGCACCCGCACCCGCACCCGCACCCGCACCCGCACCCGCACCCGCACCCGCACCCGCACCCGCACCCACACCCGCACCCGCACCUACACCCGCACAUCCAUCCUACAUUCGCAAAUCCAUCCCUGUACUCGCGGCAUUCGCUAUCGCUAAACAUUAAUCAUGAAUGUGAUGCGCACACCUUGUUGUUGAGUUUGUCCAGCUCGUCCAGGAUCUCCUGCAUGAGGUCCAUGUCCUCGCCCACGGACUCCAGGCUCACAGAGAGCUCCUCCUGCCGCCGCUUCACCUGCGAGCACACACACGUGCGGCAGACGACACACGCACGCGACCGUGUUAGCAGCAGUAGCCGCAGAGGGGUGUUGUAAAUACCAGAGAUAAGCACCCGGUAAACCGAACCCAAUGCAAUAGAGCGAGGAGGAGAGCGUAGCCUACGCUUUGACAACGGAGUGGCAUGCGACAAUAGUCCCCAUCCCCGAAAUGCACCGAGUUCCCAGCAGUGGUGUGUGUGUCAUAGCCGCAGUAGCCGGGGGGUUAGCAGGGGGCUCAGCACCGUGCUGCGUCCGACGCUGCCGCGCCGCAGUCAGGUGCGUGGCAGCCACAGGAGGUGAGCUGAAGUGGUCAAUCCCCCACCGCAACGCGGCCGCCGCCGCUCCAUCCUCGCCCCGGCUGAGCCCAGCCGGGUCCACUCCUUGAUGCACCCCCCCCUCCUCCCUCCUCCCUCCUCCCUCCUCCCUCCUCCCUCCUCCCUCCUCCGCCCCCUGUCAGCAGUCUUCAGUGCAUCCUGUCCCGCUUUUCCAAACAUCCUUACAAUUCCCCCUUCCCCCUCCUUCCCCCUCCUUCCCCCUCCUCCCCUCCCCCACAGCCACCGCGCACCUUCAUCUGCAUCUCGUACACCGAGUAGAACUCCUCGCGCACGGUGCGCCCCGGCUGCACGUCAAACUCCUGUGCCAGAUAGGCGAUGCGCAUGUUGCGCCGCGCCUUCACCACCUCGCCGCUGCAAUGAGGGAGCGGCAGGAGGCAAGAUGAAAAGGAGGAUUGUUCAGUUCAUGUUCCCUAAAAUUUGGCGCUCGGAACUCUCCAGUCUCCUGCCCUACCCCUGCAGCGCCUUCCCUGCCCUUGCAGAUACACAGUCUGCCCCCGCACCCAUCGCCCCCGUCCCCCCUGACCCCGCAGCAUCCCCGCAAAAGCAAGGGCCAAGCUCUCCUACUCGCUCUUCUGCAUUGGGUUCGGUUUAGUUCGGUUGGUGUCUAACCCACCCCCCAUCCCCACCCCACACACACACCCACAGACGCACACCUGUCUGGCUGCAGACGGCCCAUGAUGAUCUGCAGCUGCGUGGUCUUGCCCGCGCCGUUCACACCUAGGCAGCACGGCGACAGCGGCAAUGACGUGGCAUUGAGCAGACGGUACUACUGGAUUGUGUGUGCAGCGACGGCCGUUUGCAACCCCAAGGCCUUUGUCGUUUGAAAGCCCGAUUGCGCUCCUUUGCUUCCCGCCAUUUUCCCACCCACAUGCACGCCUGCGCCGCUUCCUCUUUCCAAACCCAACCUCCCCCUUCGCACCAGCCACCUCCAGCUCUAUCCGCCCCACCCACCCGCAUUCACCGACCCACCAACAAUCUCUCCUCUCCUCCCUCCGCUCCUUCUCCCGCUCCUCCUCCUGCCCCUCCACUCCACUCACCCACGAGGCCCACGCGCUCGCCCUUCUUGACCUCCCAGCUCACGUCCUUGAGCACCUGCUGGUUCUUGAACGUCAUGGCAAUCUGGGGUGCGGUGCGGGGGCGGGGGGCAGGGUGGGGUGGAGGGAUCGGUGGGGGCGUGUGGGGAAGGGAGUUAGUGGGGCGUGGAAGGGCUGGAAUCCGUGGGGCGUGGAGGCUGAGGCGUGGAGGAGGCUGGGGCGUGGAGGAGGCUGGGGCGUGGAGACUAGGGCGUGGAGGCGUGUGCCCCCGCACAACGCACGCAUUAGCGUUCAGCCCCGGCAGCCGCGCACGCAACCCGGUUCCCAAAACCAUAACACUCAUACAUUCACGCAACGCCGCCCUCCCCCCUCAUCACAUGAACGCCACCCCCCCCCCCCGCCCCAGGGCCCUCACGUUCUCCAGGCGGAUGCCGGAGCUGAUGCCGGAGCUGCCAGUCUUGCCGCCCGCCGCGGCGGUGGCGUCGUCGUUCAGCGUCUCCACGGUGGGCGCGAUGGGCUGCUCCGAGGGGUCGGCGGCGGCGGCGCCGGCGACCGGCGGCGCCGUCGCCUGCUCCACCUGAGUCUGUGUGUGUGUGAGAGAGAGGGAGAGGCGGAGGUGGAGGAGGAGGAGGAGGAGGAGUGGGUUUGGUUGGGGCAGGGAUGUGGGGUUGGAGGAGCUGUUGUGGGGUUUGGCAAGGAUGUGGGGUUUGGCGGGAGGUAACGGAGGGGCGGGAGGGGGAGCGGGGAAGUGGGCGGAAGCGCGCUCGGGUUGAGGCGUGCCCUGGGAGUGCGAGGGGAUUCUGCCCACGCGCAGUGCACAGGUAACGGGCUGCUGUCAUGGCAGGCUGAUGGCAGGCUGAUGUAUUGGCGAUGGAGCGGCGGGGGCGGUGGCUGCAGCAGGGUGCCUCGGGCGACACCGCGUUGACUGCCUGGUGGGUGCAACAGCCUCCGGCAGACGCUGCCGUUCUCGCGGCACCGCAGCUGCUGAGCCCAAACCGGCGCGCUUGCGCGGCCUUAUACUCUUCAGCUGCACACGCAAACGCGCUGUGGACGCUUGGAUGAGGGAGCAGGAGGGAGCUGCGGGAACGCGAGCGCCGGGAGAUUUGGCGGGUGGCCGCUGCGGUGUUUCGUGGCUGCUGAGUCCACAGGUGCCACACGCGACUAGCCCGCGUUCGCCUGCGUUCGCUAGUUCAAGCCCAUCCCAAUCCGCCGUUAUGUCUAUUGUGCGUGUCGCGGGGCCGCGCCAGCGACUGGCAGCCAGCACGAAGGCCGAUGAAGCUUUAGAGGUGCCGGGCGCCUCAACCGCCAAUUUCGCAAGCUGGUAGCCCGGCUGCUUGUUUACAAGUCUGCAAAGCAACUUACCUCAGCUACGCGCACUAUGAUGCUGCUCCGGCCGCUGGAGCAAGGGUCCUGCUGCUCCACGGUCCAUCGUGCCAGGCGAGCGGCAGCCUUGCGACCCAGACGAGAGUAGUUGAUAGGCGCAAAGCGCCGCGGCGCAAACACAGGAGCAGCCGUGCGGCCGCUGCUGCUUGGGCGAUUCUCAAGCACCUGGCGCUGCAUUUCUCUAGUCUUAGCUUGGCCCGAGUCAAAAAGCUACGACUGGCACCGUAGCGACCAGGUGAGUAGCUAAAUGCGGGGUGGGAUGUGAAAGGGCGAGUUCUUUGAGAUGGCCAAAAGCCAAGGAUUGCAGUGAGGGUCGAAAUGGAUAGCUCAAACGUGGUGCAGAUGAAGGGAACACAAACCAAGUAGUAUUGCGCUAAGUGUUGGGGCUCCUUGUGAAGUUUUUUUGUGUGCAAGGAGAAGAACCCUGUCUGCGCAGCGACCGACUGGAGUUAAGCUGACCGCAUACAAUACUGUACAAGCACCCACAUAGUAUACAUACAACCUGACUGCUCACCGCCUGCUCACGGAGACUACCGCCUAGGAAACGAGUGGAGUGGAGCUGGGCAACACCAUCGACCGCUCGCGCAGCGCUACCUAGCGCGCGCCCUCGCGCGACCGCCUGCGUCACGGCUGUGAGAAUGGCGAGCUCUAGAUGCGGCCCGCCAUCGUCGCUUGCCAUCGCGCCAGGCAGCGUCGUGGGCUGCCGGCCCGUCGGCGGUUUGGCUCGCUGCUGCGGUGUCCAGCUGCCAUCCUCGCACCGCGGCCGGUCGGCGAGCUCGGCACGGCUAACGCCGCUUGCCGCGCUAACCCAGCGCUGGAGCCUGACCGGUGCCAGCACCCCAAAACCGGCUAACGCCAGCGCUGCUGCCACUGCUGUUAGCGCCGCGGCUACUGGCUCACAACGUCGACUGGCACCUGGCGCUAGCGGGCGGCGCCCGCUGCUGGCGCCGCCCGCCGCCGCGCCGGGUCCAGGGCCAAGCCUGCUCAACCGUGCCGCCCCGGAAGCCGCUACCUCCCCCUCCUCCCCCUCCUCCCCCUCCGCCUCCUCAUCAGCAUCCCCCGCCUCCGCUGCCGGAUCCGCCGCAGCGCCGCCGCCGCCCACCACCCCAGCCCUGGGUGGCUACCUCUCCCUCGCGUUCGUGCCCAUCCUGUGGGGCACCUACAACCCCGCCAUCCGCUACCUGUACGCGGAAUCCGAUCCGCUGGAUCCAGCAUCACUGACUGCCGUACGAACGAUCGUGUCGGCGGGCGCGCUGCUACUGCCCGCCGCCGUCGGCUACCUGUGGACGCAAGGCGCCGCCGCCUGGCGCCGCCGCAGUGACGACAUCGCCGCCGCAGCAGCAGCAGCGGAGGCAGCGGAGGCGGUGAUGGGAAGCGAUAGCGGCAGCACGGGCACUAGCAGCAGUAGCAAUGGCAGCAGCAGCAGCAGCAGCAGCAGCAGUGGCAGUAGCAGCCACAAUGGCAAUAGCAGCAAUGGCGCCGCCAGUGGCAUUGAUGUCCACCACGCGCCUAUGAGCACAGCCAUGGCAGUGGUCACGGACGGCGCCGCUGACGGCGUGGCAGCCGCCGCCGGCGCCACGCCCGCUGAGGACGACCCCGCGCUAACCACAGCGUCGGCGUCCGCCUCUGCCUCCGCCGCCUCCGCCGCCUCCGCAACCGCCUCCGCAUCCGCCUCCACCGCCUCAUCAACAGCAGCACCCACCACCGCCCUCGCGGCAUCAUCAGCAGCGGCAGCUACAGCCAGCACCCGCGCCAGCACCGGCAGCAGUAGCGCGGGCCUGUUCGCGCCGCCGCUGCACACGGCCCGCCUGGGUCCGGUGCUGACACGCACCUUCAACAGUGUGGUGCUAGGGGGACUGGAGCUGGGGCUGCUCAACUUCAUGGGCACGGCACUGCAGGUGUGUGCGGGGGAGGCGGGGGGGGGCGGGAAGGGGCGUGUGUAUAUUCCAGCCCAACCUAAACUGAACCCAAGUGGGUGGGAAUGGGCGGGGGAAAAGGAAAUGGGAGGGGGGGUAAGUUCAUUCCAGAACUCUAAGGGGGGUUAUGUGUGCUUCAACACCCACACACACACACACACACAUCGCAUACACUGUCUUUGCGCAACGUUUUCCUUGUGCUCUUUAACACACACACCACACACACACACACAUACACACACACACACACACACCUAUUCCAUGUGCACGCAGGUGGAGGGCCUGCACAGCACCAGCGCCACACGCGCUGGCUUCCUGGCCGAGGUGACGGCGGUGCUGGUGCCCGCGGUGUCGUACCUGGCGGGGUACGACAUCCCGCGCCAGAUGUGGGUGGCGGUUGGCAUCGGGUUGGUCGGCUCGACCCUGGUCGCCUACGACGCCAGCCUAGCAGGCCAGCAGGCCAAGAGCGACGGCAGUAGCAGCGUCAGCGGGAGCAGCGGGGGCAGUAGCAGUGGGGGUGUGGUUGCGGUGGAGCCGGGAGCGGUGGCGGCGGCUGCGCCGGCGGCGGCGGCGGCGCCGCCCGCCCUGGCGGUGGACGGCGCGGUCACGAGCAGCAGCAGCGAUAUGGUCACGGCGACAGCAACGGCGACGGCGGCGGGAGAUGUUGCAGCGGAAGCGUUGGCGGCGGCGACAGCGGCAGCGCCGGUGGCGGAGGUGGCGGCCGACGCGGCGGCCAGCGCUGCCGUUGCCGCGGUUGCCAGCACCGCCGCCGUCGUCAACACGGCCGGCAGUGCCUUGCCGCUUGCGGACCCAGCCAUCCUUGCAGACACCGCCGCCGCGGCCGCCGCCGCCGCCGCCGCCGCCACCGCCGCCACCGCCACCGCCACUACCGCCAGCGCCGCCGCCGACAUCGCAGCCGCCGCCGGCGACGCCGCGUUGGCGGUGACGGAGGCGCUCGCCUCGGCAUCGGCCGCCGCCGCGGAUGCUGUCGCCACGACCGCGGACGCCGCCGCGGCCUCCGUCGCUGCGACCACCGCUGCUACUGCCGCGGCCACGGCGGUUGUUGCCGGCACGCCGGGUGCUACAGCCCUGGAGGCCACGGGCGGGGAGUUGUACCUACUGCUGGCGUGCCUCUUCUACUCCGUGUGCACGGGUGAGUGCGAGAGCAGGUGCAGCUGCUUAGCAGGGCAGCUCUUGAGCGGAGCGGAGCUGCUCAGCAGCCUUCGCUUUGAAAUGUUGCAGCGCACGCAACUUUGCUGGUUUCGCGCUGUCCUCCUGCCAGCCAUUGUUCCCGGCCGGUGCCACCGCACGCAUGUCCUUGCAUAUCCUAAUUAUCAACACAAAUACAAACACGCCCAUCCUUGCACACACUCUUUUGCCCUUGAAUGCACAUCGACACACACACACACAUACACAAUAUAGACACGCCUACCCUUGCAUACAGUCUGUUGCCCUUGAAUACACAUUAACACACACACACACACACACACACCAAUACACACACGUGCCUUUUCACACAGUGCGCAUGGGCAUCUACUCGCCGCGGCACGACACGGUGUCGCUGGCCGCCAUGAAGAAGGUGGGGCUCAGCUCAAUGAGCCUCAUGUGGAUGGCCUCCACAAACCUGCGUGAGUGGGCCGCCGGGCCGGGGAGCGAGGGACGAGGAGCGGGAGCGGGAGGGGGAGGGGGCGGGGUUUGUUUCAACCACAUCCCGUGACAGGAUCUCCCCCUGACAAACCCGCAGCCCCCUUCACCGGUGUACUGUUGACCUCACACCCUAUACCUUUCAUAACACCCGCCCCUGGCCCCCUCUCCUCUCCUCCCCUCUCCUGCCCUCUCCUCCCCUCUCCUCUCCUCCAACCCCCUGCCCACAGAGCACGGCGCGGCCCUGGGCUCCGUGUUCUCCUUCCCCGACCUCAGCUCGCGCUCGCCCACAUCGCUGGCGGUUCUGGCGUACAGCGGCAUUGGGCCCGGAGCGCUGGCCACGCUGCUGCAGGUGCGACAUCGCCCCUCUCCAUGCAGCGCUGCAAACUCCCCGCCUCACCCGCCCUCACCCGCCCUCGCCUGCCCUCCCUCGCCCGCCCCUCACCCGCCCCCUCCCGCUGCCCUGCCCUCCCCUCUCCUUAGCCCCCACCCCGCCCAGACUGAUCUGCUGCAACAACCUGUCCACGUCAUCUCGUCUUACCUAAUCGUGCACAUGGCACCUCCCCCCCUACAGGUCCAGGGCCUGUCCAGUGUGCCCGCCACCACCGCCCAGGUCAUCUACAGCUUCACGCCCCUGGCCACCGCCUUCUUCGCGUUCUGGAUCCUGGGCGGCGAGCCCACCGGGCCGCUGUCCUGGGCUGGAGGCAUGCUGCUCAUAGGUGGGUGGGUGGAUGGAUGGGUUGCCAGGUGGUUGCGUGGUCGGGUUGUGCAUAGGUGGGUGGCGGUGGGUGGGUGGAUGGGCUGUCAGUUGUCUUGGUGGGGACUUGCUGGGGGAAACAGGUCUGUAGUUACAUUUUUGUUCUUGUGGUGACCUGUACAGGCGCCGCAUUGAUGGCGGCGAGUGUUCAGAACGCGGCACACCAGCAGAAGCUGCGAGAGCAUGAGGAGGCGACGGCGGCGGCGGCAGUGCUUCUGGCGGCGGCUCAGGCGGAGGCGGAGGCGGCGGGGGCCGGGAGCGCGAUGGAGGCGGCGGGGCCGGAGGCGGGGCCGCUGCCGGCGUCGACGACGGCGGCGCAGAGGGUGGAGAGCGGCGUGAAGCAGGCGGUUUCGGCAACGCGCAAAUGAGGGGACAUGCGGCAUGCGCGGACCUAGUCAGCGAUGAUGUUUGGCUGUGUGCCAGGAGCGUGUGAAAUGGAGCCAAGUUAGAUUGAGAAGAGGAUUGUGAUCGGCGGUGUUGAGGAGCGAGGCAGUCAGCGCGUGGGUGUCGCGCCGCGCUGCUUUCUGCUCCAAAGGUGUAGGCUGUAGUGAGACGUCAGCAAGUGCUGUGUGCCAUGUGUGGUGUGAAGCGACGCUUGCUGUGUAUGUCUCGGUGUCAGCUCGGAAACCUGCGCGAGCGCUGCUGGUUUGAUUCUGAUCCUUGCAAGGGGGGCUGCCCGAUUUUGAAGCAUCUGCGCCCAAGCCUUAAGGUCUUGUAUGUGUUUACCGUAUCAUUGCAACGCCUAUGUACGGUACCUCUGGUUUUUUCGGCUGGAUAGGCCGUACCAGCACGCGCCCGGACGGGGUGUGUUGCAUCUUUGUUUUGCAUUUCAUUGGCUGUUCGGGGUUUGCUUGCACCCGCUGGCGUGCACCCGCUGACGUGUACAGACUGUGCACUGCGCAGCAGCUGUCACCGCGUGGGUUUGUGCGUGGGGUUAAUGUGGGUGAGGUUCAAUCAUCCACCUUACAAGUGUUAGAUGCUCGAAUGCCCCGGGGUGUGUGGAGUCAGGCUAGCGAGUUCCGGCCUAUGCUGUAGUGCGUAGAUCAGAAGAGUGAGGUAGCAGGAGGCAGGCGUCGCCCAGCAAGGCAUAGCGCAUCGUGGCGGGGGCACCAGACCUAGUUCCGCACACAACGGCAACGCUGCGUCAGUGCCUUUGACGCCAUCACGCUGGGGCAAUUCUGUAAUGUCAGCUCCCGCACGGGUGACGCAUGGAGACCAGGGGUGCCCCUGAUGGAGACGAAGGAGGAGACACGUCCGUGAAGCCCUGGCCCGCGUUACAUUUAUGCAAUUGCCAGACUAUCCUGAAGGAAAUUCCGCUAGAAGGCUAUGGCCGCGCCAAUCCAAAAUUCACACCGAUUCGGGCAUGGUGCGGGCACGCGUGUCGUGUUUGCACCGGCUUUCCCCCGGAUUUUGUGGCACAGCGCAUUAGGCAACGUGGUUUAGGCAACGCACUGUAUUAAUACGCGUAUUAUGGAGAGAGGGUCGCGUACUAGGCAACCCUGGUGCUAUAGAGGUUUAAGGGGCGGCUUGGGAAUAUGUGGAAAGGGAAGGCCCGCGUGGACGGCGUGCGGAAUGUGCACACCGGGGUUGUGACAUGCGCCAUCACCGUUCUGGUAAAACUCGGGUUGAGUUGCAUCGUCCGGAUACGGUGCCAAGCAGCAGGCGACCCCGUAUGGCCACUGAGUCCCUUAAUUCCCGUUGCGCACCAGGGUGAUCAAUCCUAGCCGCUAACGGGGACGACCAGGUUCGUGUUAACACACUUGCUGUUCAGCGUAGAGCUGGCUGCUGCUGCGGGGCCUAGGCAGACCGACGCAGACUAAGGCGGCGGAGUAAGGGACAGAGGCAUGCAAGGCUCGUGGGUUGGGUAUGAGUUGUCACAGAGUGAUAGUCAUUCUGCUAGCUUGCGCUGGCGGCAACUCAACCGGCGAGCCAGGUCGCGGUUGAGUGCUAUAAACCCCUCGGCAAGGCCCAUGCAGCCCGCCAUGCAGGGGAUGACAAACCAUCAGCAACACCGGCACACGGGCACAGGCUUCUAGCGGCACGCCCCGUCACGCCCCGGGGGCCUAGGUAGUUGCGCCGUGCCGCACACACGAUAUCACCCGACAGUUGCUUGGUCGGACUGUCCCUUCUUGUAAUGUCGCAUUCAUAAUGUGCACACCGUCUAGCACGCCCCAGCGCUGGUGGCCGGAGCCCGUGCCUCGCUCCCGAAUGGGGGUAGACGUGGGGCGAUUGUCCGUCUACCGAUUUUGUAAUCAGUCAUUUGCGUGAGGCGAUGGGCCUGUGCGGCUCGCCUAGUCUCGGUGUGGUGGAAAGGGACGCACACUCCCAACCUUGCAACGCAACAAUAAGCACGCUUACGCACGUUGUGCGCCACGCAGGCUCAGCCGGACAGUCCGUGCGCACACCAAGCCCGCUUUCCUAAAGUCUACUGCCUAGUAUACGGUAGCUUAGCUCACACGGUUGAAAUGAAAGAGCACGAAUGGCGACCCCGCAAUUGAUUGCAGCGGGCCUGUCGCCAACCAGCCUCCAAGCACCAACACUUCAUUCACCGUAUCAAUCUGAGAGCUCUGCGCGUCGCCCUCGUGUGCCCGUUGCCUAAACGCAGCCUUCAGCUGCAGCAUACUAAUCGACACGAGCAUGAAUCUGCCAAACUUGUCGCACUCACAACCCCCUAUUAAACGUGUCAUGCUGGCAACUCCCGGGCAUUGGUCUAGCCUUGAUUCGCUGCAACCGACCUAACAGUCCUGCGCUAUCUUGCACACACGAGUGCAAAGCACGGCCCGCACAUGCCUGAUUCGGCAUGUUGGGUACUCGAGUAAAAUGGUAUCCUGUGCCCCCGCCCCGUGCCCGCCGCCCGUUUCCGUCAACUCGCCAAGCAACGCACUUCAAGUGGCCUGUCCCCCCACUCCGACAGCCCCAGUCCAACCACAAACACUACAUUAUGAGCUGCGCUCUCUCGCUUUGAACACACCGAAUGCACGCGUCCACCCUGCCUCCUGCCCAAAUACACGCACACGUGCAAAAUCUGUCCUGUUCCCUUUCAACAACUCACUCGCACACACACACACACACACACACACACACACACACACACACACACACACACACACACACACACACACACACACACACACACACACACACACACACACACACAGGCACGCGCACACGCAUACAUACACAAUUCAUGUCCACGUCACGACAUGUCUUCUACUUGUUGGCCUUGGCCAGGUCGCGGUUGGCGAAGGCGCCUGUGGGCGUCCGCCCGUACCUGACCUGGUCCGCCAUCUGCCGGCCCAGCGUGCGGUCCCCCGUCUGCCAAGGCAGCGUCCAGCUAGCCCGCUUGCCCGUUGACCCCAGGCCGCCCGUGCUGCCGCCCGCGAAGCCGCCGCCCGCGAAGCUGCCGCCGCCGGUGGUGAUGGGCGGCAGCUGCCCCGUGCCGGAGGGCGAAACCGGGGCGCUGCUGCUGUAAUAGGCGGCACCGGCGGAGUCCGCUGGUUGUUGCUGGCUGGGGCUGUGGGCGUCGCUGGCGAGCUGCUGGGAGUGGUGGCUGUAGCGCCCAGUGGCGCCGCCGCCGCCGCCGCCGCCCGGCUGUAGCAGGCCGCUGCCGCCGCGCAUGGUCGCCACGGCGCUGUGGGUGAUGUUGGUGCCGUCGUAGGUGGCGGGCGGCACCUGUAGGGGUGAGGUACAGGUGUGUGUGUGUGUGUGUGUGUGUGUGUUGAUGCGUGUGUGUAUAUAUAUAUAUAUGUGUGUGUGUGUGUGUGUGUGUGUGUGAGCGCGGAUGUCAUCCAGCAAACGCACGCACCGUAUUCCGCAAUGCCCUUUAACACACGUACACACAUGCACGCACACUCGUCCAUGCGCACCUGCUUCUCGUGCAGUGCGGGGUUGACCGGGUUGAAGAACUGGCCCGUGGGCGUGCGCUUGUUGUUGGUCUGCGCCGCCAUCUGCCGGGACUCAGCCUCCUGUCCCUGCACCCACACAGACAACCAGGUUGGCGUCGGCGUUCGAGACUAUGGGGUGAAGUUGUGGGCGAGCUGUCAUGUUGUACUACAUGAGGUGUAGCAAUUGUAUAUGUGUAUGUGCCAGUUGCGAGUGAGGGUCGCGCUGCAGCGGCAUAGGCGACAAAACCUGCCUGCAACACCCAGUCUCGCCCAGCCAGCCCUGUUGGCACUCACCUCUAGAGCAGUGUACGAGCCGAUGGGCCUCUCCACCUGCGGAGCAGCAUUGCGAGUGACAGACCUUAUGUCUAGGCGCCCCGGCAGCGACAGCAAAUGGUGUGCGGGAUGCGCGCGGCGGGGGAGGACAGCGGCGCCACUCCGACCCAACGCGGGCAACGCCUGAAGGCCCGGUGCAGUGGUGGCUUACCGGCUCUCGCACGGGCCGAAUACCCGUCCCUGCCGUUGGCAUAGUCGCUCCAUAGAUUCGCUUGUUUUCCUACAUUCAGGGAGCGGGGUCUCAGUCCCAGGAGCGCCUCCUUCGAUGGCCCUUAUACGCAUGGCGUCCCCGGAGGAUAUGUGGGCUUACCUCCGAGUAAUCGUGGAGCAAGUAGUUGAGAUGCUUCCUUCGGUCUGACGACAAUGCUAGUUUAUCGUGUUGCGUGCAGGCGAACGAGGGGUAGCCCAUGGUCCUUGCGCUGUGACUCGAUAGGCGGAGCUUUAUGAUUAGGUUUUGAAGUUGAGUCGCUAAGUAUGGAAUUGUUAACCUGAACGCUGGCAAGCUGUGCGACUUGUGCAUCAAGGCCUGCAUCGGUGCGUGCUGCUCGCUGGACGGGAAUCGUCGUGGUAACCUAUAGUUUCACGUAUGCCAUAACUUGAUGUACUAGCAACUUUGACUGCAUAUCCCUGUUUCCCGCCUCGCUCGGACCGUCGUCCCCAAACACGAGCUUUCGCGGUGCUUCUUUGGAGCUGAUUGGUAUCAGCUCACCUUACUUCACCAAAAUCACCUGCACCACCAUAGGCGCUUUCUCGGCAACGCAGUUGGGCGAGGACCGCCUCGGAAGCCUGAGACGAUGGCUGGAAAGCAGUGUAUGACGCGGUUGCAAAAGGAGUACAAGAGCUUGUUGAAGGUGGGAGGACUGGCGAUGGCGCUAGCGUAGCCGCGACACCGUUGGCUGGGCUGUCGAAACCCCACGCUUCAGCUCCCAUACAGCCCCGGGUUGUCCGGGAGCCCAGCUCUGGAGCUGCUGGGGGCUCUGUGCGCCCAGGCCAUGACCAGAUAGCAAGGCGUAGCCUGCACUGUAGUGAAGCGUUGGCGCAUAUGAGCUCGGGGUCGCGGUGUCAUUUACGAAGGAGCAUUCCUGCUCCGCGUAUCCGAUCGAAAACUCCGGUUCAAUGUUGGCCACGCAGGACCCGGUGCCGCACAUCACCGCGCAUCCCUCGCCCUCCAACCUACUCGAGUGGCACUUCGUGCUCGAAGGCGCCAAGGUAAGGACAGCCGUACACGCACACACACGCGGCAGCACCUGGCGCUGUUAGCUGGCCCGCUCCGUGUCGUACACAGCCAUCGGGCGGUGUUGGCGUUGUUCUGGCCAUUCUGCGGUGGUUGCGGACUUGGAGUGGGCGGCCAAGCCGAUGCAGACGUCGUGCUGGUGCAAGGGAGACGCGGCGUCUGGGUCGGACCCUCGCACCGGCUGCGGCGUGCAGGCGGUGUCACCGGAGCCGGCCAGGCACCCUCUAUCCCGGCCGGCUCUGUGGGACCGGUUGCGAGUCUGGACACGCAUCCACGCAUCCAUCUCCCCCAUUUCCACCUCGCCUCAUGCCUGCCCCAUCCUCUACAGGGCACGGAGUACGACGGCGGCGUGUAUCACGGCAAGCUGGUGUUCCCCGCGGACUACCCCUUCAAGCCGCCCUCCAUCUCGCUGUUCACGCCUAACGGCCGCUUCGCCACCAACACCAAGCUGUGCCUGUCCAUGACCGACUACCACCCGGAGGUGGGGCGGGCAGGCAGGCAGCGGGGCGGGGUGAGGGGUGGGGUGGGGGUGCAGCCCGCAGGCGGGCAGCAGCGCGGCAGCAGGGCUUGGGGUGGGGGGAGGCAGGCAGGCAGGCAGACAGGCAGCUGGGCGGGGCGAGGGGUGGGGGGGGGGGUGCAGCCCGCAGGCAGACAGGCAGGCAGCAGGGCGGCAGCAGGGCGGAGGGGGGGGGCGCAGCCCGCAGGCACGCAGGUGGAGUGGCAGGGCGGCAGGGCGGGAGCGGGGCAAUGUGGAAGGAGGAUGUGGAGGGCUGGGGUUGCCUAGCUUACCCCGCCUUGAAUCGGAGCCAGUCGGAGCAGCCUAAACCGGUUCGCUGAAUCUCGCACGCGCCCAACCCGCCUGCUCCCCGCCUUGAACUCCCCUCCCCCUACCCCUACCUGCCUACGACUUCACUUCUUUAAUUCAUCAUGAAUGUAAGCCCCCUCCCUGCACCUUCGCCUCCGCUGCAGAGCUGGAACCCCAUGUGGAGCGUGGGCACCAUAUUGACGGGGCUACUCAGCUUCAUGUACGACACACAGGUGAGGGGGGGAGGGGCAGACGUACGGCAGACGUACGGCAGGCAAAUGGCGGGGGUGGGGAGCGUACGGCAGGCAGUUGGCCGGGCAGGGCGGGGCCGGUCAGGCACCGCACGCGCAGCUGCGCAGCGUUGGUGGGGUUCUCCGCGGCUGGGUGGUGUACUGGUGUUGAUAUGGCGGGGCAGGGCGCAGCGGUCGCGGUCGCAGCGGUGGCGGUGUGGCCACAGGUGCGGUGCGCCCCGGCCUCAUCCAGGUACCGUAGUUCACCCGCCCAUCCACACACGCCACCAACGGCCCAUCCGCCCAGGCCACCACGGGGAGCAUCACCACCUCGCGCGCGGAGAAGGAGCGGCUGGCAGCGGAGAGCCUGGCCUUCAACGCCAAGAACCCCACCUUCAGGAAGCUCUUCCCAGCCUGGAUUGAGGAGCUCACGCGGCGAGCCACGGCGGCGGCGCAGCCUGCACCGGCGCAGCAGGCGCAGGCACACGCGCAGGCGCAGCAGGAGCAAGCCAACGGGGAAGUGAGUGGGCAAGCGAACGGACACGCAAACGGCGACGUGGCGGCUGCGAAUGGGGGAGGAGGGAUCUUUGGCGCGGCGCGGCAGGGCGGCGGGGAGCAGCAGAACGGGCAAGCCGGCGGGCGCGGCGGCGCGCCGCCGGGGCGGGGGCUGGGGAAUUCGGUGGUGACGCUGGCCGUUGUGGUGGCGGUGCUGGCGGUGGUGUGGGUGAGCAGCGGCAGCGGCGGCGGCGGAGCGCUGUGGCAGUCCAUAUUCUCACAGGGGGCCGCGGCCGGCGGGCACGCAGGACCCCGCUGAGCCCGUGCCUUCCUCAGCGUGUGAACGUACAACUGGCUGAGGGUAGCAGACGGCAGGACGGUGGUCAGGUGCCGGCGGUACGGUCAGCUCAGUUAGUUGCGCAUGAGGUUAGGGUUAGGGCAUGAGCACGGUAGCUCAUUCAAUCAGCGUCGGGCAGUAACCUUUAUGCCGGCGAAAUGACGAUGGUGACGGUGCAUGGCGGACGGCGGGAUCAACACAGGUUCUGAGCUGCGCCUCCGGGGCCGCAGCGGGCGAGCACAGACAGAGGUGCAUAAAACCAGUAGUACGCAACGCGGGGGCUCUAGCAUAUAGCUGUGGACGCUGCCGGUACAUGGUGCUUGCAGAGUGUCUUGUGUGUUCGCAGGCGCGUGUGUGGUAUGAUGGCAACAUAGUGUGCCGGGGGGAAGUGGACGCAGGAUGUUCUGUUGGCUUGACACUUUGACGUGCCGUACGGUGGUGCGGGCCCGCCGGGACUGUAUGCGCGGCGAUAGCUGUCGUAUAGGACAGUCAGCAAAUACACACCCAGAUGCCCUGGCCGGGCGCCCGGAGCGUGAGUGUUGAGUUCUGGUCGGUUCUGGGUGGCCGUGCUCGCUAGUAGUGUUACAGUGGCACUUGUAUAGCGAUAUACACGACACCAAACUGGUAAAGACUAUGCCCUAUAUAUGGCUCUAGAUCGCCUUCUAUACCCAUCGUAAGGCACGUACCCGGGACUCCCACGGUCUCCCCGCCGUGUCCCCACGUCCCAUACUCCAGUGUUCUGACCGAAUACCCGCUAGUCCUCAACAGUGAGGAAUGCACAUCAGCAAACUUCCAGCCAGCCAGCAACUUGUCGGUACAGUAACUCCGGCGUUCGACCAGCCAUGCACUUCUGCAGUUCUGCUCUGCCACUGCAAACUGUUUGUUGUCUGCUUGGGGUACGGGCGUCAGCUGCACCCUAUGGGACCUCGCCAACCUGCCUGAACCCUGUCCCAUCACACACCCAGAUGCCCAGGGCAUGUUCCGCAGCAGAAUGUGGCGUGGACGGGUAAAGCACAAUGCCUUCGCCGCACAGGUCAAACUCCAUCUGUAAGGUCCAAAAUCUCGCGCUCGGUGUUCUGGCCCUCUUAAAUUAUGGGGCGUCCCGCCCACAAAACGGCAGCUCUCGUGGGCAAAUCAAAUGUUCUUCGAUGGGGCUGGAGCUCCGCCAGAGCUGGGUGUCGGGUAGCUGCGGGGGUACUGUAGGUAGUGAAUGUAGCCUGCUCAGGCUCACACGGGCACGAGCACCUGGGAAUGGGUGUGCCGUCUGCGACUGAGGGAGCAGGGCACACGUAAGACUGGUAGUUGGGAGGGAUAUGGCACAUUGGCACUGUGGCUGCUGCCCCGCAGUGCUGCAAUACCGCGCCCCUGGCCCAUCGCGCCACCAUUUGUCCGGAAACUCGCAGUCAGGACAUCACCCGCACAAAGCAGACUUUCGGGGCGUUCUUAAGCGCAGUCUUGAUGUGAGUGCGGAACAGCACGGAAGACAGCAAUCACUGCCCCCCACGAGCUUGCCACUGCUGCCAACCCUAGCACGCUGAUUCCUGCGUAGGUAGGCUUGUCACCGAAGGUUUGCUUCAUGAACAGAUGAGCUCUGAAGCUGAAAACAUACCCUGUUUCUGCAGAUUUCCUAGCGGUGUACCUCCUAUUCCGCAGCACUGCAUGGCGUGUUCACAUCUCCAGAAUGACUUGCCGUGGUUACACACCAAGGACAAAGGAACAUGUACAGAGCAGAAUUAUGUAUCACUGCGUGUGUAUUACACGCCGUGCUGUUGCGAGCCACUCCAGAAGAGCUGCAUGCCUAAGCUUGAGAAUACACGUGGCAAACUGGGGUUGCCAAAUGUGCGGAGAUUGAUUAUCUCCUGUCCUGUUUUCUACGUUGAUCGUCUUCUCUUGGGGGAAAACCGCCUAAUCCAUCAAACCGCACACAGGCGCGCAACGCGCUGGAAGCAGCGUGCGGCCAAACACACAAGCCACAUCAUCCAAGCGGAGCGGCAGGGCGGCCCAGUGCAGACAACAAAAACUGCACCGGCACACCCGCGCACUCCCGUGCACUGCCCUCAGUACCACUCCUCCAGGCGCCCACUCUUAGGCCACCGGAGGUUGCACCCGUACAGCGCGUCCUUCGCACACGGACCCGAGUUGACACGACAGUCACACGUGUUCUAGGUUCCGACGCGUCACACCACCGCUUGCAUUGCAACCGACGCAACCGCUGCUCCUCACUCCAAAGCCGCUUACAUUCUCCCCAUCCUCAUGCUGCUGCUGCAGCAGCUCCAGAGAUGGCCGAAAAUUCAGCUGUUAGGUGGAAAGAAGAGGGCGCUUACAGGACGGCGGCCAGGACGGAGUCCAGCUUGGCCUUGGUGAUCUCCAGCUUCUUGGCGGCGGAGGCCUGGUCCUUCUCGCGCAGGGCGAAGUCCAGGUCCUCAACGGCCUGGAUGAACUCCUUGCGCAGGCCCAGGGCGGCCUUCUUGGCCUCCUUCUCCUUGGUCGAGGCCAGGGUGUUCAGGUCGAAGCGCAGGGUGCCGACCUGGCGGCGCAGCUGCUCGCGAGCCUCAGUCCUGUUGCGAGGGAAGGGGCAGGGUGGUGGGGAGGGAAGGUCAGCAUCCCGUGUGUCGGAAUUCGUUUUGAUCCGUAUUAUGGUUGCUCCUGUAGCAUUUGAACUUUCUUGCGGAUGCCCGUACCCAAGCCGUAUUAGGUCGCGCUGGAAACCCUGAGCAAGCAUAUUGGCCCCGUCUCGACGACAUCGCGCUCACCAGUAGGACUUCUGGAUGAACACGUCCAGGUCAGCGUCGAUGCGGGCCUCAGACUCCUUCACGCGCUUCUUGGUCUCGUCCAGGGAAGCGCGAGCCUGGGUGAAGCCCUCGCGGACGUUCUGGGGCAGGUCCAG
Molecule: long non-coding RNA, 54941 nt
Filed under: Chlamydomonas reinhardtii
Lineage: Eukaryota; Viridiplantae; Chlorophyta; Chlorophyceae; Chlamydomonadales; Chlamydomonadaceae
Description: long non-coding RNA (CREI_LNC000705)
Source: RNAcentral